This 77411-nucleotide long non-coding RNA is filed under the name Vitis vinifera (wine grape). RNAcentral's name for it is "long non-coding RNA (VVIN_LNC002201)". Lineage: Eukaryota; Viridiplantae; Streptophyta; Magnoliopsida; Vitales; Vitaceae. The record is from RNAcentral.
AGAUCACCCAUGACAUUUUCAACGUACUGUGAAGUUGAAGACCGAAAGAUAAACACAAAGCAUGAAAGCAUGGACAUGAGAAACUUGGAAUAGCAGAAAUGGAAAGCAGCAUGUGCCUUAGCAGUGCAAUUUUGUCUCUGUGUUUGUCAUGUAUGUGGUUGGGAGUGGUGCCUUCCAUUUCUAGUGCACAGACAGACACCAUCAAACCUGGGGAAGAGCUUCAAUUCUCGGAAAAAUUACUGGUUUCUGCAAAAGGGACUUUUACUCUAGGCUUCUUCAGCCUGGAAUCUGGCAGUUAUUUAGGAAUAUGGUACACAACUGAUGAUUAUCACAAGAAAGUUUGGGUUGCUAACAGAGACAAGGCUAUAUCCGGCACCGAUGCAAAUCUCACGCUGGAUGCCGAUGGCAAAUUGAUGAUCACGCAUAGUGGGGGUGAUCCAAUUGUCCUGAAUUCCAAUCAAGCAGCCAGAAACUCAACAGCUACUCUGCUUGAUUCUGGAAAUUUUGUUUUGAAAGAGUUCAAUUCGGAUGGAUCUGUGAAGGAGAAACUAUGGGAGAGUUUCGAUAAUCCUACAGACACCCUCCUGCCUGGGAUGAAACUAGGCAUCAACUUGAAAACCGGACGAAACUGGUCACUUGCUUCAUGGAUAAGCGAACAAGUGCCUGCUCCUGGGACUUUUACUCUGGAAUGGAAUGGCACACAAUUGGUGAUGAAACGCCGAGGGGGCACCUACUGGAGCAGUGGAACCUUGAAAGAUAGGAGCUUUGAGUUCAUUACUUGGUUGAUGAGCCCUGACACUUUCAAUAACAUCUACAGUUUUAACAGUGUUUCGAAUGCAAACGAGAUUUACUUUAGCUAUUCAGUUCCAGACGGAGUUGUUUCAGAGUGGGUAUUGACCUCGGAAGGGGGACUUUUUGACACUAGUAGACCUGUAUUUGUGCUGGACGAUCUGUGCGACAGGUAUGAAGAAUAUCCAGGGUGUGCAGUGCAAAACCCACCCACUUGUAGGACUAGAAAAGACGGAUUCAUGAAGCAAUCGGUUCUCAUAUCAGGAUCACCAUCAUCAAUAAAAGAAAAUUCGAGCUUGGGCCUUAGUGAUUGUCAGGCUAUAUGCUGGAAUAAUUGUUCUUGUACUGCUUAUAAUAGUAUAUACACUAACGGAACUGGAUGUCGGUUUUGGAGUACAAAAUUUGCACAAGCCCUCAAGGAUGACGCAAAUCAGGAGGAGCUCUAUGUUUUAUCCUCAUCACGAGUUACGGGUAAGAGUCUCUCUGUAUUUUUGCAUUCCUGAAAGUAACCAAAGCAAAAGUAGUUGAUGAAUCCAACAUUUUUAUUGAAUUUACAACCCUAAUAGGUGAUCAAAAAUUCAAAAUACCAUUAGAGGAGCUAUAUCAAGACCAUAAAAGACCCUCUUUCACUCAGUUCUGCUCUAACCACAAAAUUUAUCAACUUCUAUCUAUGCAGGGAGCAGUUGGUGGAUAUGGGUCAUUAUUGCAGGAGUGGUACUUUUGGUCUUGUUACUUACGGGCUCCUUAUACUAUUCAAGGAGAAAAUUCAGAGGUAGUAUUUUAUUGUAACUUUUGUUGAUGAUAGUGAUGCCAUUGUUAAUGGGUUGGAUUGAACUUGUGACUUGUGGUAUAACAGGGGAAAGAGAAAUGGAGGAAGCUGCGCUGCUUGAAUUGGCAACUUCAGACAGCUUUGGUGAUUCAAAAGAUGAUGAACAUGAUGGAAAGAGGGGGGCUCAUGAUCUUAAACUGUUCAGUUUUGAUUCUAUUGUGGCUGCCACAAAUAACUUUUCACCUGAAAAUAAACUUGGAGAGGGUGGUUUUGGCCCGGUUUAUAAGGUAAAUAUUAUUAUUUCAUUAAUCCAUGGCAUGUAAUAGGAAUAGGACAUUCUUUGUUUUAAGUACCCCAAUUAAAGCUUCCUUGUGGAUUGUGGAUUAUUUUUGCAGGGGAAAUUACUUGAGGGGCAAGAAAUAGCAGUGAAGAGACUUUCAAGGGGCUCCAGCCAAGGAUUGGUGGAGUUCAAAAAUGAGAUUAGACUGAUUGUCAAACUCCAACACAUGAAUCUUGUUAGACUUUUGGGUUGCUGCAUCAAGGGAGAAGAAAAGAUGUUAAUCUAUGAGUUCAUGCCCAACAAAAGCUUGGACUUCUUCCUCUUUGGUUUGAAUACUUCCCUUUUUUUCUUCCUUUUAUCUGCAUAACUUUUCCUUAUGUUCUUUUUUUUUGCUUGAAACGAUUCACUAGCUGUGCGUUGUGUUUGCCCAAAUUUUCAGAUCCUGCUAGAAGAAAGAUAUUGGACUGGAAAAGACGUCACAAUAUCAUAGAGGGUAUUGCACAAGGACUUCUUUACUUGCAUAAAUAUUCAAGACUAAGAAUUAUUCAUAGAGAUCUAAAAGCAAGUAACAUCCUACUUGAUCAUGACUUGAACCCCAAAAUUUCUGAUUUUGGCAUGGCCAGAACUUUUGGGCGAAAUGCAUCGGAAGCAAAUACAAAUAGGAUUGUUGGAACAUAGUAAGCAUGACUUUUCUUUAUCUAUCAGCUUUCUUUUUCAGUCUAAUGUACUGAACCUUCAACUGUGGAUGCAGUGGUUACAUGCCACCCGAGUAUGCCAUGGAAGGAAUUUUCUCGGUGAAAUCAGAUGUUUAUAGCUUUGGGGUCCUACUGUUGGAGAUUGUGAGCGGCCGGAAGAACAAAAGCUUUCAUCAUAACCACGGUGCCUUUGCCAUAAACCUGGCAGUAUACGUAAGUCUGCUAUAUCUCAUAUUUGUCUCUACAUUAUUUUCAACAGCACCCGGUGUAUCCUUCCAAAAUUUUCAUACUAACCUAGUAAGUAAAUCAACCCUAAAAUGAACUGGAAACAGGCUUGGGAUCUAUGGAAAGAAGGUACUAGCUUGGAGCUAGUGGAUCCAAUGCUGGAGGAUUCCUACUCAACAACCCAAAUGUUGAGAUGCAUUCAUAUUGCUCUCUUGUGCGUACAGGAGAGAGCAGCAGAUAGGCCUACAAUGUCAGCUGUUAUCUCCAUGCUCACCAACGAAACUGUACCCCUACCAAACCCAAAUCUACCCGCAUUUUCCACCCAUCAUAAAGUGUCAGAGACAGAUUCACACAAAGGCGGGCCAGAGAGCUGUUCUGGAAGUGUAACUAUUUCAGAGACGGAAGGUCGGUAAAGAAGAGAAUUUCAGGGGGUGACAGGGAACCUAGAGAACAGCCGUUUUUGUCCUAACCUAUCAGCAAUUUGUCUAGAUUGAUUUGUAUUGCCACCAUAUAUUUAUUAGAUAUAGAGUCAACUAGGUUUCCCUCAAGGUAAUCUUUUUCAAAGCACAACAGAAGCUGAUUUGGUACCAUUUGAAACAUAGUUUUAACCUAUAGCCUGUGGCCCUAUUUGCCUUUUUUUUUUUUUUUCCGGGAAAUUUAUCUAACCAUACACCACAUACCAAAAUUUUGCCUUUUAGAAACUUUGUUUUUUACUUUUGAAAUUUAGUGGAUUUUGGGGGAAAUAAAUGUCUUUCCAUACACUGUAAUAACAAUGUUGAGACCCUUCCAAAAAUGCCCUCAUGCACUUUGACAGCUCUCCUAGUUGGAUCACCCACUUGGAAAAUUCACGUAAGCAAGGUCCAAGUUAGCUACCUACAACAGUUGAUGACAAGGUUCAUGUACAUGUCAUCAUCCAACUAGACAGUUCACAUGGAUUGAUUUUUUAAAACAUAUUUACCCCCAAAUGUCUUCUUCUCUCUUCAACCAACCCUAACACCAAAAACACAUGUUUUUUCUUCUUCAUUCAUAGGCACAACCCAUCACAAGGCGAAACGAUCCAUAAAAAAAUCUGGUGGCUUCUCAAUUUGCCAUAACCAAUUAACCCCAAACAAACCUCCAAACAAGAUCCCUUAUUUUAUUUCUCCUCCAUCACCAUAAGAAAGACGACAUCAUCAUUUUCCCACCAAACAUCAAUUCGAAAACAAAAGUCCAAGUGUGAAAUGCCUAACAAAGCCUAAGUAGACAAAGAGCCCCUUUCCUUUUUCUCAUUUCAACAUCGACAAAGUCAUUUCUUCCCUUCUUGUACUUCCUCUUUUGCUUUUGCGUUGAAAAAUGAGAAAGAAAGCAAUUGAGAGAAAGAGGGAACAAAGCAAUUAAAUAUUGUAGUUGCAUUUAACUUUUAAAGUAAGGGUUUUUCCAGAUGAUAUAUGUAUUUUAUUAAAUUUUGUAAUAACUAUUUAUUUUGAUUUGUCAUUUUGAUUCUUUGAGAUUUGAAUACUGUUAUAGUUAUGUGAUUUGUGGAAUUUUGUGAUUUAAACUUAAUUACAUUGCAUAUUUGUACAUGUUGAAUGUUCAUUAAUAUUGUAUUCAAUUUUAUAUUUUAAUUUAUUUAGGGUUUAUUUGAAAUGAAAUAUGGUUUAAAAUUUGAUAAAUGAUAGGAAAAUGAGAUGGUGGUAAGUUAUAUUGAUUUUGUUUUAUUUUCUGAAUUGUUGUGUUUGUGUUGUACAUGGUUGUUGGGAAGAAUAUAGAAAAGAGAAGAAAAAUAUGACUAUUGAAUGAGAAGGGAAUACAAUUUGUAUAUGGGAUUCAAGAUGUUUUGUUGUUUAAUGUUGUUUAUAUGGGAUUCCAAAAUGAGUAGGUUGAGUUUUUUUUUAUAGUUGUUAAUUGGUGAAUUUAAUGCAUAGGAAAAGAAUUCAUGUUUAGUCAUAAGUAAAUGAGUAUAAAUUUUAAAAAUGAUUGGGAGUAAAGUUUGAAUAAAUUUCUUCAUAAAAGUUUUGAAUUUGUAAUGAAUGAGGGUUGAAUUGAAAAAGAAAAUAAAACAAAUGUAGUAAAGCAGACAUGAAUUUAUGUUGGAAUUAGGAAAAAUAGUAGUGGAGCCUUAGGUGGAAAUUUGAUGCUCACUGUCACAAAUAUGAAAUUUGUUUUGUUUAUAUGUGUGUAAUGGUCAUAGUAAGUGUCUACCCUUGGAUGAAAGGGUUGACCGUAAUUGAGGUAAUGACAUUUGGAUGGAAUAAUUGUUUUUGUAAGAGGUUGCAGUAAGUAAUUAGUGGUUGACCCAUUUGUUUGGAGGUAGGCCCUUAAUUGUAAACAUUGUUGUGGUCUAAUAUAGGCAAUAAGCAAAAUAAAGGAAGACCCAUUGUUUCAGGGGUUGCCCCGAAAACAGGGCCAUUAGCAUAAUUUAGCUUGAAAAAUUACAAAAACAAUGGUUGGCCCAUGAAUUGAGAGAUUCACUUCCCAACUUAUAUAACAUAACAAAUUACUGCCAAAUGAAAUAGAAUAAUUGCAUUGUUUAAUGUUAAGUAUACGCUAUGCAUGUUCAUAUUUACAACAUUAAUUGAAGACCAUGAAAUGUAAAUGAAGCUCACUUGUAAAGUUCCAAAGAUAAACGAUGUAUUAGUAAUUUGGUCAUAAGUGUGAUAAUCAGUUUUGUUAUAAGUAAUUUGGUUUAAGCAGUGUUAUUAAAAAAUUAGUUAAUUGUUUCAGCUUGACUAAAGGUUCAUGUUUCUAACACAUGAUCGAGUAUCAUUUAAAUGGAUCCAAGUAAUACAAUUUAUUAUUAUCUGCACAUUGAAAGAGAGCUAGUAAGGGGUGAACAUGGCAGUAUGGAAUAUAUGGGUGGGAGACGAGAGAGUAUAAGUUUAGAAUGAUCAAUGACAUAUAAUGAUUUUGUUUCAAGGAUUUGUGGGAAAAUGAGCAUUGAUAUAGUGGGACCAACAUUUUCAUACACUCUUCCAUUUGAUCUAUAUGCACUUCAACCAUUGAAAAAUGAUGAAGACUUGACAAACAUGUUUCAAUUUAGUGACUAAUUCACACGUGUAUAUAUAUGUUUAGCAUCAAUAGUUAAAGGCGAUGAAACGGUUGACAAUGAAGGACAAAGGUAAGUUUAUCAAAAGAAUAUCUAAUCUUAAAUGAUUUCGUGUAUUUAUUUAUUUAUUAAUAUUUAUGUUUAUUCAUUAGAUGAUAAGUUGAUAAAUAAAUAUAUUUAUAAUGCAAAUUGAACGAAACAAUGGUAAGGUCAAACUCACUGGUCCCAUAUUCAACAUGGGAUGUUGAUAUUAAUUAGAAUGCAAUCACGAGGAUUUUAUCAAAGAUGUGUUGAAUCACAUGUUGGUCCACUAGAGUCGAGUUAUUUUGAGAGUGCAAUAUUGGGUAGUGGGCAUACCUUUUCAACUGCAAAUGACUUUUGAGAUGCAAUAUAUCUCAUGUCAAUAGGAAACCAUUUUAGAUAUAAGUUUAGGAGGAAUUGCCUUAAGCAUAUGACUGUAAUAUGUGUUAUUGAAGGAUGCCCUUGGAAAGUAACUACUUGUGUUGUUGGGAGAACAAAAAUAGUUCAGGUGCAUACAUUUAUAAAUGAACUUAACCAUUCUUUAGAAGAUGUGUCAGUUUCUAAACCAAUAGUUCGUUGUAAUCGAGCCACAACUAUGAUUGAUAAUGUUAUUCAUUCAAAUCCAAAUUACUUGUCUCGUCAAAUAUGUAAAGACUUUCAUCGACAAUACAAAAUGCAAUUGAAUUAUUGUCAAGCAUGGAACUUGAAAGAGAAGGCUAAAGAACAAAAUCAUGGUGUGCCCCAAUGUUCAUAUAAGUUGUUGCCUUGGUUGUGUACAAGGCUUAUUGAAACAAAUCCAGGGACGAUUGCUGAAUAUAAAUGUUCGGAUGAUGGUCAUUUCAUGCAAUUGUUUGUUGCCCUUUCAGUGUCAUUACAUGGGUUUAAAAUGGGGUGUCGGCCUAUUAUAUCAACAGAUUCAUCCCACAUGAGUGAGUCAUACAAGGGUGCUUUAUUUUUAGCUUCUUCGUAUGAUGCUAACAAUGUCAUGUUUCCACUUGCUUAUUGCUUAUUUAGCUUCGAGAAUUACGAGGAUUGGCUUUGGUUCUUAGAGAAAUUGAAGAUGGUCAUAGGUGAAACAAAGGUUAUAAUAAUAUCUAAUAGGCACGAAGGAAUUAUCCGUAGUGUUUUAGAUGUAUUCAGCAGUGAAAAUCAUGCACAUUGCUAUCAUCACAUUAAAGAAAACUUUAGUAGCUUACUAACAAAGUUGAACACUAAAUGGAGGAAAAUAAAGGAAAAUGCUUUGCAAAUGCUCGAUUCUAUCACCUAUGCUAGGUUAGAUUGUGAUUAUGAGGUUACAAUGGAUACUUUAAGGACAUUUAAUCAUGAUUUGGCAAAGUGGGUUGAAAAAAAUAACCCUCAACAUUGGGCAAUCUCUAAAUUUAAGAUGCGUUGGGAUAAGAUGACAAAUAAUCUAGCUAAGUCUUUCAAUUCUUGGUUAAGACAUGAAUGACACCAUAACAUUUGUGUUUUCUUCAUUGAGCAUAUGGAUAAGUUAGGAUCUCUUUUAGUCGAGCACAAAAAUGGACUUGCAAAAUGGAAUGGGUGCAUUAGUCCUAAAAUAGAAGAAAAUAUUGCAUUGAACAUUGCAAAAGGUGAAAAUUAUAUCACUUAUUUACACUUGGGUAGUUCGAUGAAAGUAUCCAAUGGAAAAGUAUUCUUGGAAAUGGACUUAAUGAAGUGAACUUGCACAUACAAAGCAUGGCAAAUGUCUGGAAUCCCAUGUGAUCAUGCUUGUGUAACAAUAUGAAGAAUGGGGUUCGAUGUAUCUGAUUAUGUUGAUGACUGGUAUAAGUACAAUUUGCAAGAGAAUAUAUACUCUGGAAGCAUGUGUACUUUGGUAACGCAUGACAUGCCAAUGAUUGAUGAAGAUGGAACCGUUCGUGAUGCCUUGGGUCAUACUUAUCCUUUUCUUAAUCUUUCAACCACAAAGCAACCUCCUGGAAGACCUAAGAAACAUCAAAUUAAGUCUCAAUUCAUGUAAAAAAAAAAAAAAACGGUUCAUUGUUCUUGUUGUAAUGAGCCUAGGCAUAAUUGUGCUACAUGCAACAACCCAUUGUCGUAACUAUUUAAUUAAACUUCAUAAUGUAACAUCGACUUUAUAUUAGUAUGUAAUAAUUUGGUAAUCUUCAUCGUUGUUUCCCUGAUUAUAAGCAAUGACUAAUUUAUUGGAUUUGUAGUGUUUGGUGUACACAUAUUGUGAUUAUAUGUUGUUCUUCAAUAUUAUGGGAUAUGUUACAUGAUAAUAAAAUUGCAAUAACAAAAUGUGUACCUUGGUGAUGAUUGUUCAAAGAUGUCAUUAAAGUCACAUAAAUUCACAUGGAAAAACAAAUUGUUAACUAGUGGGCAUAAUCGUGGAUGACCUUUACAUGUAUGGGUUGUCAUUUUUUGGCUGAUGACCCUUAAUCAUAUUAUUUAGUUUUGUGGGAAGUGGUCAGUAACCAAAAUAAGGGCCAACCUAUUAGGUCAUAAGCAGUCCUAUCGUUUUUCUUAUUUAAAAUUGGUUUUGUGUUAUGUGAGGAGUCGGUAAAAGGGAGGUUGACCCAUUGACACCAUGGGAAGGCAUUCGAACGUUUACACUAUACAGUUAGAAUUAAUGGAAUUUCUUUUAUACAAUAACAUUAGUUUGGUAUGUUAUGUGUAGAAGUUGAUCUAAGGGCGCACCCUCCAUUUCAAAGGCAUGCCUAUGUGUGAAUGACAUUAUAUUACCAUGUUAUAUGCAGAAGGCAAAGUAGGGGCACACCCUUCGUUGCAUAGGCAUGGGCAUGGGUAUGAUAACAUUAUUUUGGUAUGUUAUGUGUUGUACACAAACUAGGAGUACACCAUUGAUUUUAGAGGCAUGCCUAUUGGUGAAACCAUUAUAUUGGUAGGCUAUGUCCAGUAGUCAACCUAAGGGCACAACCUUCAUGGAAGAUGCAUGAAUGUGGGUGAAAAACUUGAUUUUUUUAAGCUAUGUGCAAUAGGAAAAAUAUAGGCAUGACUCUAUCGGAGGCAUUCCUUCAAGAUGACUAGAUUUAAGGUGUGUGUUGGGUAGUAAGGCAAAUAGAGGCAUGUCGAUAGUUUGAAAGGUUGACCCUUGACGUUCAUAUGAAAUAAGCAACCACCAAAGGAAUAAAUGAACAAAAGUUAUGCAUUAUCAAAUGUUUGGUAAAGACCAUAUGUUCUAAUGUUUAGCAUAGUAAUGUCAUACCAUCUAGUGUUAAUGAAGUUUAGUUGUAUUGUUUAUAAUCUAAGCAAGGCAUUAAUCAUAAUGACAAUAGGUGUGAAUGUGACAAUUGUUAUAGUUAAUUAAUUUUGGCAUGGUUAGUUACAAAUACUAUUGUAAGCAAUUAAAUACCUAAUGGGGUCCAAAAAAGGGAUUAAAAUAUUUUAUGCUUAUUUUAUAAAUGAUGUAAUUCUUUUUGGAAGGAAUAUAUGUAUUAUUGCACAUAUUAACGUACACACACGCACGUGCGCGCGCGCGCACACACACACACACACACACACACACACACACAUAUAUAUAGAUGUAUUAAAGUAAGAAGGCAUGAGGUCUCAGAUUGAUGUUAAAAAAAUGUACAAUACUUUAUUAAAGUUAAUAAAGAACAGAUUGAUCUUAAAGAUAUAUGAAACAUUGUGGAUGAUAUUACGAGGGUUUGAAACUCUGUUAAAUGGUGGUGAACGACUUCCCAUCAGUUCCUAUGGGUUCUCGGUAGCAUGAGGCCUUGAAAUACCAAAAUUUCUUACAAAUGUACCAAAUUUUAUAAAAUAAAAAAAAAUGUACCAAAAGUUGUAAAUGAUGUAGCAAAAUUUGUCAAGGAUGUACCAAGGGUUUAAAAGUCUGUUCAAGAGUAGCGAACGACCUUUCAUCAAUUAACACAGAUCCUUAAAUGAAAUAAUGGAUCAUAGGUGAUAAGAUGGGUGUUUCAAUGGCAAUAGGAUUAAAUGUACCAAAUUUUAUAAGGGGUCUCGACAACAAUAGGAUCGGAUGUACCAAAUUUUAUGAAGAAUGUAUCAAAUUUUGUGAAGAAUGUACCAAGGGUUCCAACGUGCAUUCAGAUAUGAGGAACAACCCCCAAGCACUUCCUUAUAGGUUCUCAAAUGAAAUUAUGGACCUUAAGUGAUAAGAUGGGGGUCCUAGAAGUAAUAUGAUGAGAUAUACCCAUAUUUUAUAAAAGAUGUACCAAAUUUUAUGAAGAAUGUAACAAGGGUUCCGAAGUGCACUCAGAGGUGGGGAUCGACCCCCAAUCACAUCUUUAUGGAUUCCCAAAUGAAAUUGUGAACCAUCUAUGUCCAAAUGGGAGUCUUGAAAGCAAUAGGAUUGGAUGUACCAAAUUUUGUGAAGCAUGUACCAGAUUUUAUGAAAGAUGUACCAAGGGUUCCAAAGUGCAUUUCGAGGUGGGGAUCGACCACCAAUCACUUCCUUAUGGGUUCCCAAAUGAAAUUAUAGACCCUAGGUGAUAAGAUGGGGGUCCUGAAAGAAAUAGGAUGAGAUGUACCAAAUUUUGUGAAGAAUGUAUCAAGGGUUCCAAAGUGCGUUUUGAGGUGGGGAUCGACCCCCAAUCACUUUCUUAUUGGUUCCAAAAUGAAAUUAUGGACCAUGAGUUAUAAAAUGGGAGUCUCGACAACAAUAGGAUCGGAUGUACCAAAUUUUGUGAAGGAUGUACCAAAUUUUCCAAAGCAUGUUUCGAGGUGGGGAUCAGCCACGAAUCACUUCCUUAUGGGUUUCCAAAUGAAAUUAUGGACCCUAGGUGAUAAGAUGGGGGUCCCGAAAGCAAUAGGAUGGGAUAUACCAAAUUUUACAAAGGAUGUACCAAUUUUUUUUUAAGGAUGUACCAUAUUUUAUGAAGGAUGUACCAAGGGUUCCAAGGUGCUUUCUUAGGUGGGGAUUGACCCCCAAUCACUUUCUUAUGGGUUUCAAAAUGAAAUUAUGGACCAUAAGUGAUAAGAUAGGGGUCCCAACAAUAAUAAGAUCGAAUGUACCUUAGAUUUUUUUAACCGUGUUUCUUAGUAACUUGAUGAAAGUUAUGUACAUUUUUUAACGUUAAUCUGAGACCUCAUGGCCUCUUACUUUAAUCUAUCUAUUCUUUUGAGAAAUUGACAUACAUCUAUUGUUUUACACACACACACACACACACACACACACAUAUUCCUUACAAAAAGAUGCACUUCAUUUAUAUAAUAAGCAUAAAUUAUUUUAAUCCCUUAUGCCGACCUCAUUAGGUAUUUAAUUGCUUACAUAAAUAUUUGUAAUUAACCCUACCAAAACUAAUUACCUAUAACAAUAGUCUUAUUCACACCUAUAACCAUCAGAUAUUAAUGCCUCAUGUAAAUUAUGAACAAUUCAACUCAACUUCAAUAACACUUGAUGUUAUGACAUUAAUGUGAUAAAUAUUAGAACAUAUGGUCUCUACCAAACAUCAGAUAAUGCAUUACUUUUAUUUAUUUAUUUAUAUGGUGGCCACUUAUUUGAUAUGAUCGUCAAGGGCCAACCUUUCUAGCUUUGGGCAUGUCUCCAUUUGUCUUACUGCCCAACCCGCAUAUCAAAUAUAAUCACUUUAAAGGCAUGCCAUAGACAUAAGAGGCAUGCUUAUCUUUUCUACUGCACAUAGCAUAACAAAUUUAAGUUUUCACCCACAUUCAUGCAUCUUGCAUGAGGAGUGCGCCCCUAGUUUGACUAUUGCACUUAGCCUACCAAUAUAAUGUCUUCACCAAUAAGCAUGCCUCUUAAAUAAAUGGUGCACCCCUAGUUUGUGUAUUGUAUAUAGCAUACCAAAAUAAUGUUAUCAUACCCAUGGCAUGCCUUUGCAACAAAGGGUGUGCCCCUAGUUUGCCUUUUGCAUAUAGCAUACCAGUAUAAUGCCUUUGCACAUAGGCAUGCCUUUGAAAUAAAGGGUGUGCCCUUAGAUUGACUUCUAAAUAUACCAUAGUAAACUAAUGUUAUUAUUAUUUUUAAAACAAAUUCCAUUGCUUCUAAGGGUACAAUGUCCACGUUCGAAUGCCUUCCUAUCAGGGAUUGAAAAAUCGGAAAAUAUCGUCGAUAUUUCGAAGAAAUAUUGAAUAUCGGUCGUCACCGAAACGAUAAUCGCCACCGAUUAUCGAUCCACGGAAAUAUCGCCAAAAAAUCGGCAAAAUCGCCGAUAUAUCGACGAAAUAUCGAUGAAGGACCGAUAAAUCGGAGAAAAAGGAUCUGACACACGGAGCAACCGGAGGUAUUUUUACCGAUUUUUCCGAAAAUUUCCCGAUAUUUCCUACUAGUCCAGCCCGCGCAGUUGUGUUUUUCAGCCUGGCUCAAAAAUCAUGGAUUUAGGGUUCGUGAAAUUUAAAUCCAAUGGCACAACAGCAAAGAGACCCCUAAAACAGAUCCAGAAAACACAAGAAGCAAAAGAAAAGCAAUUUUUUUUUGUUUUCUUUGGGGGUUUUGAAUGGAUUUUCUCGGAAAUCAAACAAGGAUGAAUUUUCCCGGAAAUCGAAUGGGGGUGGAUUUUCUUGGGAAUCAAACUGGGGUUGCAAAAAAAAAUAAUAAUAACAUGAUUAGAUUAGUACCUGCGAGGAUUGAGAUUUGAGAGUAGCAGAGGAAAAUAGGGCUUUUUUUUAGGGUUUCUCUCGUUGGAGGACAACUUCAGAAAAGGGUUCUUGAUGCCCCGUGCCCGAGAGAGAAGUGGGUGCCUUUUUUAUUUUUUUAUUUUUAGAUUUAGUGGAGAUAAAAAAAUAAAAAAUAAAAAAUAAAAAAAUCAUGAGAACAAUUUUCCACUCUCUAUAUAAAUAAUUAUUAAUUAUCAACCUUUAUUUUGAUUAUUAAAUAAAUUAAUAUUAAUAGAAAAAAUUGUUACACAUAUUUUUAAUAAAAUUUUAAAAAUUAAAUCUCAAAUAAGAUAUUUUAUAUAAAUUAAUUUAAUUUUUUAUUUAAAAUAUAAUAAAAUAUAUUUUAAUAAAAGUAUUUUAAAAUUUUUAAAAUAAAUAUUGUCUUCAACAAGAUGAACUCCCUUCAUAUAAUAAUAUAACGAAAUCACAUUGAUAUCUUCCUUAGUAUAAGGACUAUUGCAAUCUCAUAUGUAUUAUAUUUAUAUAUAAAUUGUUUUUAUUUAAUAAAAUUAAAUAUUUCUUAACUCAAUUUUAACUUUAUACACUUUCAAAAUUCAUAUAUAUUAUUUUUAAAAUUCAAAUAUCGAAUCUACCAAUAUAUCUCUGUUUACGAUAUUUUUCUUCUUAAUUAUAUAUAUAUAUAUAUAUAUCAAUUACACUUAUAAGAUAACUUUAAAAUGUGUAUUCUUACUUAUUUUAUCAUUUUUUGAAGUUUUUUAAAGCAUUCCUAUUAAUUUUAAAUAAUUUUCACUCCACCGAUAUUUAUGAAAAAAUAUCCACCGAUAUUUCCGAUAUAUCCGUAAAAUUGAAGUACCGAUAUAUUCGUAAAAACCGAUAUUUCAAUCCUUGCUUCCUAUUAAACAAUAAGUCAACCUUCCUUUUACCAACUACCCACAUAACACAAAACUAAAGGGUCGACCCUUAUUUUUGCUACUAACCACUUCAAACAAAACUAAUAAUAUGAUCAAGGGUUAUCAACCAUAAAAUAGCAACCCCGCAUGUAUAGGUUAGUCACUAUUAUGCCCACUGGUUAAUAAUCUUUUGUCUUUUAUUUUUAUUUUUUCCGAAAAGCUCUUGGGUGAAGUUUUUCACUUGAUUCCAACUAUUGUGCUAGUGUAUUUGUUUUCUAAAGAUCCCAAGUGUAGCAACCAGUGCUUCAUUGGUCACUUCUCUUAAGUUCUUCAAUUAGCUUACUCUUUUCCUUUAUAGUAGCCUUAAGUGCUUCAAGGCUAACACCCUCGAUUUCAUGGACAUAGUUUGCCUCCACCUUUGCAGUUCAUUUACUUAAAAACGUCAUAACAAUGAACCUCUUGUUGAAUCCUUCAGCAUCAGUGGUUGUGAUAAUGGACACUUGUAUAUAAAUGAAUCCAUUGUUUUGGAAGAAGGCGUGAGUUGCAUGAGUAAAGGCAUUGCGGGUUCGCAUAAUGAAUGCCACCUACAAGUUUUAAAGUAGAAAUUAAAACAAAAUGACCUAAUUAAUUUUUAGUCAAAGCAUUUAUCAUGGAUUUAGAUAAGAAGCUGCAUGGAACAAAAAGAUUAAUUAUGGUUGUUGCUUAUGGCUAUGUCAUUGACAGUUAAGAAGGUAUGCCCACUACCCAAUAUUGCACUCUCAAAAUGACUCGACUCUAGUAGACCAACAUAUGAUUCAACACAUCUUUGAUAAAAUUCUUGUGAUUGCAAUCUAAUAUCAUCAUCCUUUGUUAAAUAUGAGACUAUUAAGUUAGACCAAACAAUUGUUUUGUUCAAUUUGCAUUAUAAAUAUGUUUAUUUAUCAACUUAUCAUAUAAUGAAUGAACUUUUUUUCCUCAAUGAUUUUCAAUUCUAAAGAGCUUCCAUUUUUGUUAUAAAAAAAUUACUAAUUUAACAUUUCCUAAAAAUGAUCCAUUUCCAUAUUGAAAACAAUUUUUCGAUCAGGUUUCCCAACCCCCUAACCAAACAUAUUUUCAGUGUCAUUUCCAUUUAUUUUCUUAAACAACCAUUUGCCAAACACCCCUAUAAUUUUGGAUCCUAUAAGCCUAAAGCCCUACAAAUCAAAACCCACCAAGGUCACACUCUCCAAUACAAUUCCUCAUUUCACCAAGUGAAAAAUCAACCCAAUUCAAUACCCACCAUCUAGAUCAACCCAAUUAACACUUCAAAAACAUUAAAAAAAUCAAGCCAAACCCAAAAAAUGCUCAUUAAUCACACCACAACCCAAAAAAUCAAAUAAAACCCUCAUCAAAUCCUAUACUAACUUUGCACCAAGAAAACAAAACCACACGAAACACGAAACCCUAGUACAAGAUUAACUAAUUCAAUCAAAUUCACAUCCAACAGUUCACAAACAUGGCCAAAAACUAAAAUUCACAAGCCAAAUAAUUGCGAGUCGGACCUGAAAAUCAAGAACUGUACUUGUAACUUGACUUGUCUGAAAAUCUCAACUUUGAAGCCACCCAAAGUGCGCGAGAUAAGCAAAAUGGGUGCACAGUGAUUCAUGCCCAAUUGGUGUCUCAGCUGAUUCGUGUCCAGCUGGUGCUCCUUGAUUGAGGGAGUAAUCAACAAAAUUUAUAACCUAUUACACCAUAUACUAGGGUAGCAAAGACAAAGCUACUAUAGCAUAGUGGCUCUAGGAUCGUUCACUGGGAUGGGUUUUCACUUUGCAAAUGAUAUUAAUUCAAAGCUGAAUUGGUGCCUUUUCAUUUCAAGGUUAGCUUUAAAAGAAAACAUAAAGAUGUUUGAAUGAAAAAGGUUUGGUUUUAAACUAACCAAAAAUAGUAACUGAUUUUACUUACAAAGAAAAGUGUUUCUUGGAGUUCAGAUCACUAGGCUCAGGUUCCUCAUACAAAAAGGAGAGUUCCGAUCACUUGUUUCUUUUCCUCGCAUUAGAGAAUUAACAUAUAGUUAAUUCUCUAACCGGUGUUGUACAGAUGCUUCCCAUUAAUGGGUUCAAACACUAAAUCCCUCUCACUGAUGCACUUUGCAAUGGUUCAUGCCUCUCACUAGCACUUACGAUUCAAGGUGAUCUUUAACCUUGGAUUACCCAUCAAAAGCUCGCAAGAGAUAACUAAUGGAUGUCUCCUUGGAGUCCAAAAGCUUACCAAGUGUUGGCUAUUCUAGAAAAUCCUACCUUCAAGUCACCUCCCAAAGGCUCGCAAGAGAUAAACUAGUGAAUCUCCAUGGACGGAGAUCACUUGCCUUACCAAGUGUUGGCUCAAGUGAAUUAAAGGCGUUUUAAGUUAACUAAAAAGAUAAAAACCAUUAACGGGUCACACUUUCUCUUCAUUAAAAACUAAAACAACAAAACUUCCAAAUUAUGCAUGUGGAAACUUACCCGGCUUUCCUCACUCCAAGAGACAAAGAGCCUAGCCUCUCAUCCUCUGAGGAAAAAUCCUCAGAGUUUGUUUGGCUAGCAAGAAAACUAACGAGAAAACAAGAAUAUAUAUGAAAAACAGAGCAAGUGCUCUGUUCGUUGAUUCUAUAUAUGAUAUCUCUAUAUAUCUUUCUAUAUCUAUUACAGUGGAUGCAAGGGAAUAUAUAUAUAUAGAUGUUUUUCCAACCUUCCUAGCUAAGAAAUCUUAUGGUUGGUGGAUUACAAGGAGAAGAAUGGAAAUUUAUACAAAAAUAUCUGAAGAAAAGAUCUAAAAGAUUCGGUGCACAAAUAUCGGGAAGCAUUAAGGACCAUUUCGCAGGUGAAAACGAGGUCUGCGAGAUUUCGCAGAUGCACACAAAGGGCUACGAAAUUACUUCGCAGCAAACGGCUGACUUCGCAACGCUGCGAAGUGUUCUUUCAGCUUGUGGUGUUCAGCUUCCAACGUGAUGGGAAACUUCAAGGGGAAUUCCACAGCAUUGUGCAAAAAGGCUGCGAAAUCAUCUCUCAACAAAAGGGUGAUUUCGCAGCGCUGUGCAAAAUUCUUCCUUCAACUUGGAGUGAUCUGCUUGAAAUGGUUGUAAAUCCUUCGUUUCAACUUCGAAUCGUGCACCGUUUGAAGCAUUGGAUUGUUGACUUCAUGAGCUUUGAAAUGGUAUAUAGAAUGUAGAAAAUAGACUUCGGGAAGUGCUCCAAAAGUACGAAAGAAGACUGCAGCUGUUGUCCUCUGUUUUCUCCACUUUGUUUUUCCUCUCUCCUUUGUUCUUUCCUUGCAUACUUUGAACGACUUUGGCAAAGGGCUAUGGAGCUCCAAAGCUGGUUCUUCAUGAAUUUGAGCUUUCCAUUGCUUUGCCAUGGAUUCCAAAUAACUCUCCUCAAUCUUGGAUUGCUUUGGUGAUCAAAAAGCUAUCAAAACACCAAAACUUAACACAAUUUGAUUAGAAUUGAUUGCAAGGGUCCUUAACAUGUUAAUUGGGUUAAAAGGCAAUAACUACUACUCAAAAGUGUUUAAAAGAAUUAAUUACAAGCUAUCAAAUAGCACUUUUUGAGUAGUAAUCACAUAGGAUUUUAGAAGUAGACUCCCUUUAUGAGUUUUUUGAGUUAGGGUUUGAUUGAAGAGAGAAGAAGGCUAAAUCUCACUAUCUGUUUCGUUAUUUUUUGGGAAAUAUUUUUUUUUAAAUCAUUCCACGUGGAUUGUCUAGUUGGAUGGUGGCAUAGACAUGAGCCAUAUCAUUAGCUUAAGUGGGUAACUUACUUUGACUGUGCUCACAUGGCUUUUCCAAGUAGUUGAUCCAAUUGGAAGAGGUGUUAAAGUGUAGGAGGGCAUUUUUUAAAGGAUCUCAACAUCACUAUUACAGUGUAUGGAAAGGUAUUUAUUUUCCCUAAAAUCCACUAACCUUCAAAAGUAAAAAGUAAAAUUCCCAAAAAGCAAAUUUUUGCCCCCUAAUGUAUGGCUACAUAAAUUUCUUUUUUUUUUUUUUUUCCUCCAUAACGUAUUAUAAUAGAUUGUACAUGUUUAUCUUAGCCAUGGUAUGAUAAAAAAUAUGUUAUAUGCUACACAUAGAGAAAAACACUCCAAACGACCAAAGUAGAAAGUGGAGAUAGUUUAUGACUGAUCCUCACUCAAUUUGCACAUAACACCACUAGUUAACCAAACUUCAGCCUCCAUGCUUCAAGUAAUCCAUAGCCAAGUUCUUCUCAAGAGACAUAGGUCAUUUAUGGAGACAUAGGUCUUCAAAUCUGAUGAUGGGAAAUGUCCACCUCCUCCUAAAGUGCAAGAUUUUACCAUGGUUUUAAAAACCAAACCAGACAGGCCGGUCCAACUACCAACCAGUCACGGUUCCAAUUCGGUCUGGUCAAUUAGGUCAAAAAGUGGUCGGAUCGAAAUUGGACCGAUUAAACCAGUGGUCCGAUCGGGAAUUGUUCGGUUCAAUUUUAUUUUUCCACUGUCAUCAUUUCCCAUCGACGAGACCCCUACCCUCCUUGCAAAGCCAUUCCCACGCUGGAAAAGCUUUUAUUGCCCACUGGAACACCCCCGCCCCCUCCUCCUCGUUGGAACCCCUUUUUGUUUAUCGAAAUCCCUCCCACCCGAUACUGGAAACUCUAUCCCCCAAAACCCAUUGGAACCCUUUUUUGCCCACUCAUCUCUUCUCUUUUUCCAGAUUUUUUUAUUAGUAUUAUUUUUUACUUCAUCUCAUUAUUAUUAUUUUUCUUUUGUAUUAAUUAUUUUUUUAUUUCAUGAUGUUUAAAACUUAUGAUUUUAAUUUAAAUUAAUGAAAACAUUACAAUUUUAAAUAAAUUCCUAAUUUAAAAAUAAUUUUUUUAUUUAAAAAUGAAUUUUAAAUUUCUAAUUUGAAACUAAUUUUCUGAUUUUCAAAUAAAAUUUUAAUUUUUAAAUAAUAUAUUGUGGACACUGCAUUUCGGCUCAAUGCAUUUCCCACUCGAUGGUGAGCUCGAUUUUUUAUUUGAAAAUUUGAUUCUUAUUUGAUUAAGAAAACUGACUUGGAGUCGCCACUUAUUUUUUGUUUUAUUUUAAAAGGGUAAACAAAAUAAGAAAGAAAACCCUAAGUGUGACUCCUUGUUUUGGAAAAGGUGGUCUGUGAAAAAUCGGAGCGGGCUCGGAGGUCAGAUUGCUUAUUGGGAAGGUACGGUACAGACCGUAGCACCCCUCUAAUAGUCGGGUCUCUACUAAUAGAAUGAAACUGACGUGACAAUCAAUGAGAAAAUCAAGGGACACUCACCUAAAUCAUGCAGAAUAUGGGAAUCAAAACACACAAUAGAGAUUGACUAGAAUGGGAGUGGAUGCGUACCUCGGCCACGAGCCACAAUGCGCUAUUAAGAAACGGGAUUAGUGCACAAUUAAUGAAUACAAAAUAUAGCUCAUGCAUAUCGGAGUGUAAACGAAACUCAAGCGAAAUACAUUAAGCACGACAAUUUACAAUCAAAAGGGAUCAAACAUAGGGCCCCCACCAAAGCCCAAUUUUUCAUUCAUGAACUAGUCUCACAAAUCCCGUGUUUUAGAAUUAUGAAGAAUUCAUUAUUGCUUACGUAAAAUCAAGAAGAUCAUAAGAUUAUUCAGGAACCAAAAUGGGAUUAAAACUAUUCGACUGAAGACUGGAUUCUUGGAGUUUAUUUGAAAAUUGGAGUAUUUGGAAUUAAAUUUAAAAGAUUAGAGCUCCGGUAAUUAAAUUGAAAUUUGUUAAAUAAGAUGAGAAAUGAACUUUAGGAAAUUGAUCUACGAAAAUAUGGAUUUUGAAAGUUGAAUUUGUAAUAAUAGUAAUAAUAAGAAAUGAACUUUAAGAAAUUGGACUGCGAGAAUAUAGAUUUUAAAAGUUGAAUUAAUAAUAAUAAUAAUGAUAAGAAAUGAACUUUAAGAAAUUAAACUACGAGAAUAUAUAUUUUGAAAGUUGAAUUAAUAAUAAUAGUAAUAAUAAUAAUAAUGAUAAUAAUAGUAAUAAUAAUAAUAAUAAUAAUAAUAAUAAUGAUAAUAAUAAUAAUAAGAUUUUGAAAGUUGAAUUAAUAAUAAUAAUGAUAUUAAUAAUAAUAAUAAGAUUUUGAAAGUUGAAUUAAUAAUAAUAAUAAUAAUAAUAAUAAUAAGAUUUUGAAAGUUGAAUUAAUAAUAAUAAUGAUAAUAAGAAUAAUAAUAAUAAUAAUAAUAAUAAUAAGAUUUUGAAAGUUGAAUUAACAAUAAUAAUAAUAAUAAUAAUAAGAUUUUGAAAGUUGAAUUAAUAAUAAUAAUGAUAUUAAUAGUAAUAAUAAGAUUUUGAAAGUUGAAUCAAUAAUAAUAAUAAUAAUAAUAAUAAUAAUAAUAAGAUUUUGAAAGUUGAAUUAAUAAUAAUAAUAAUAAGAUUUUGCAAGUUAAAUUAAUAAUAAUAAUAAUAAUAAUAAUAAUGAUAAUAAUAAUAAUAAUAAUAAUAAUAAUAAUAAUAAUAAUAAUAAUAAUAAUAAGAUUUGGAAAGUUGAAUUAAUAAUAAUAAUGAUAAUAAUAAUAAUGAUAAUAAGAAUAAUAAUAAUAAGAUUUUGAAAGUGCUUUGGGUUCCAUCCCCAUCAUAAGCCCAAGUCUAUGAACCCAAGUCCAUUCAUUAAAAAAGCUUUGGGCUCCAUCUCCAUCAAGCCCAUGUCCAUUCAUUAAAAGAAGCCCAUGUCCAUUCAUUAAAAGAGCCUUGGCUCCAUCUCUAUCAAGCCCAUGUCCAUUCAUUAAAAGAAGCCCAUGUCCAUUCAUUAAAAGAGCCUUGGGCUCCAUCUCCAUCAAGCCCACGUCCAUUCAUUAAAAGAACCUUGGGCUCCAUCUCCAUCAAGCCCAAGUCAUUAAACUAAAAGGAGCCCAGGUCCAUUCAUUAAAAGAAGCCCAUGUCCAUUCAUUAAAAGAGCCUUGGGCUCCAUCUCCAUCAAGCCCAAGUCAUUAAAUUAAAAGGAGCCCAGGUUCAUAAGCUCAUUAAAUUAAAAGAAGCCCAGCCUGCCUCCAUCUCCAUCAUUCAUUAAAUUAAAAAAAGAGCCCAGGUCCAUAAGCCCAAAUGACCCAAGCCUGCCUUCGAUCUCCAGCAAAGCUGGUUUUCCACUUGGGUGUCAUCUUCAGCCAAGGAGCCUCCACCACCGGCGACGCAAUGGAGAGGGAUGCGACGGCGACGAUGGCGGAGUAGACAACAUUUUGGGUGAGGGCGCUAGUGGCAGUCAGGAUGAUGGUGCAAAUGGUGGACUCGGUGCUUGGAGAGAAAUAAUGGGAAAUAAAGGUGUAAAGAGAGAAAAUAAAUAUCAUGAAUAAUGGGCUUGGCAGGCAAGGUGGGAUAAUAGAUGUGGUGGUGUGAUCAGACAAAAUGGGUUAGAGUUUAGCGGGUAUGAAGACAAGGAUCAUGAAUGGUGGGAUGAGGAGCAAAAGCUAGUGAGAGAAUAUGGGUAUAGGAGGGGUGGACUGGUUUGCAUGCAUUUUUCCAGCAACCUUUGGGCUUGGCAGCUGCUUUAGGUUUAGGCUCGGAAGCUUUGGGCUUAAAAUUCUGGCACAAGCAUAACAAGCUCCAAACCAAAGAGUAAACUAACAAUAACUGAUUGGAAGGAUGAAACUAAAUUCACAAUCACACAACAUGCAUCAUUACAAAGCAGAAACUAGAGACUAAUAAAAAAAGUUGUAUCAAUAUUAACCUUUUAAUGGAAUAAUAAACAACUUACAAGAUGUUUGGGAAGCAAGAAUUAUUGGGUCCUCAUGUCCAGGAAACUGCUUUUUUUUUUUUUUUUGUUGACUGAAAGCAGCCCCCAUUUGUAGAAGAAGGAGAAGCGCAUGACCCCUCGGUGCCCUUUUUUCCUGCCUCAGACAACAACCCCUUUUUCAUCAAAAACCCCCCCUCCGCAAGUCAUGGACCUGCUCCUCUCUUCUCUGCCACCCUUGCUGCCACCAACAACCUCACCUCAAUUUCUUUCCCAUCUCACCCACUCUCAUAAAAAAAAUAAAAAUCCAUACUUUGCCUUGGGGUGCUCAACCAACCGGGGGGGGGGGGGGGGGGGGGNNNNNNNNNNNNNNNNNNNNNNNNNNNNNNNNNNNNNNNNNNNNNNNNNNNNNNNNNNNNNNNNNNNNNNNNNNNNNNNNNNNNNNNNNNNNNNNNNNNNAAAAACCUCACUUAAUUUUUUUCCCUUUUUCACCCCUUUUAAAAAAAAAAAAAAAAACCCCCCCUUUCCCUGGGGGGGCCCCCCCCCCCGGGGGGGGGGGGGGGGGGGGGGUGUAUACAAAUAUGCCCCUCUUCGGUAGAGUUCAUGAGUGUAAGGAAUAUGAGCACUAGAGUGAAAAGAAAGUGUGAAUAGUGAGUGGAAUGAAGUGAACUCUACUGAAGAACAAAGGAGACCCCCAAAAGGACACUAACGAGACAAAAACUCACUUAAACCAACAGAUGAGCAAAAUGGGUUUAACCCUAAGAGAAAAGCAGAUCUCUCAAAAUGCCUCUAAAGCCAAACAGAGGACUCAGGCUCCCUUUAAGACGUCUCCAAAAGUGACUCGAAAGACCAUAUCAAAGAUAAGUAACGGUCGAACCCCUCUGAAGUACAAAAAAGACUACGCCUAAAGGAGACUGCCUUAUGCGAACUUCAUGAGAAUGACUAGUGUAGGGUGUCCAACAACAUGACCGAAGUAAGUGUCGUGAACUCAAAGGUCACCGUGUCAUGAGCAAUGAAAAGGGGAAUUUGGAAGAGUGAUGACAAGUAGGCGAUAAGCACAGGGUAACAUGGUGAGGAAAAUGAGAAUAAAUGCAAACCCAUGAAGGCAAGAUGUGCAAUGCCAAUGAACAUGAAUGCCAGGGACUCUAACUCUGAAUGAUACGAAUGAGGAGAAAUGACUUUGAACGUCAAAACACGAGAAAGAUAAGGACUUAAGGUGCCCGAACGAAUAUGUACAAUGGCUCUGAACGCCAAACUAAAGAGAGAUGGUGGCAUUGAAUGCCUGAACGAGUGUGAAAGAUGGCUCUGAACGCCAAAACUAAGAAAUAUGGACUUUGAGCGUCGAACUGAAAGUGUGACUCGGAACGCCAAACUGAGAUCAUGGCUCCGAGCGCUGAACGGAAGAAAUAUAUGAUAGUUCGGAGUGCCAAACUAGAAACAAACAAAAGCUCUGAAUGCUAAACUAAAGAUGUACAAAGGCUCCGAGUGCCUAAAAUGUGGCUCUGAAUGUCGGACUGAAAAUGCUAAUGGCUCUGAAUGUUGGGACUGAAGACGAUGAUGGCUCUGAACGCCGAAACUGAAGAUGAUGAUCGCUCUGAACGUCGAACUGAGAACGAUGAUGGCUCUGAACACCAAAACUGAAAAUGGUGAUGGCUCUGAAUGCUGAAGUUGAGAAACGGUGAUGGCUCAACGCCAAGUCGUGAAUGCUGAUGACUUUAAAUGCCGAAGCUGAGAAACGGUGAUGACUCUGAGCGCCAAAACUGAGAAGAGAUAGUGGCUCUGAACGCCAAACUGUGAAUGCUGAUGGCUCUGAACACCGAUUUGAGAAGAAAUAAUGGCUCUGAAUGCCAAAUGGAAAAUGCUGAUGGCUCUAAACACCGAACUGAGAAGAAAUAAUGGCUCUGAACGCCAAAUGAAAAAUGUUGAUAGCUCUGAAUGCCGAGACUAAGAAGAAAUAGUGGCUCUGAACGCUGAUUACUACUCACUAAGUGCUAUUUCAUAGCUUGUAAUUAACUCUUUUAAACACUUUUGAGUAGUAGUUAUCACAUUUUAACCCAAUUAACAUAUUAAGGACCCUUGCAAUCAAUUCUAAUCAAAUUGUGUUAAGUUUUGGUGUUUUGAUAGCUUUUUGAUCACCAAAGCAAUCCGAGAUUGAGGAGAGUUCUUUGGAAUCCAUGGCAAAAGAUGUUCGGACAGGGCGUCCGGAAACACCAUUGGAAGGCAGCGGAACGUGGGCUGUGGCAGGCUGUCGGAAUGACGUAGCAAGGCUUGUGCACUAUAGCCAAUGAUCCGGACAACAUAUCCGAAUAGGAUAUGCUAUCGUCCGGGGUGUGAUGAUCGCGAGUGCCAUGUGCUUCUCCCUGAGGGAGUCCGGAUAGGGGAGCUCGCUGCAUGUCCUCUUGAAGAAUUCAGAUGGAGUUGCUCCGGAUAGCGAUGCGCGCUCCAUGUCAUCAGGGGGAGGGGUCCCUACACCUUGAACACGCAGACGACCCCCUUACGACGUGUGGCAUCGCACAUUCCACCCGGAUGUCUCACAUCCGGAAUUCUUCAGUGAAGGGGAGAAGGACCAUGGUUCAACAGUAAAUGCAAAUCCGGAAAAAGAGCUUAUUAAGGAAGAAUUGAUGAAGAAACGCACAUCUCCACCUUUUCCUCAAGCUUUGCAUGGGAAAAAGGGGAUUAGAAAUGCAUCUAAAUUUCUUGAAGUAUUGAGACAAGUGAAAGUUAAUAUCCCACUGCUGGAUAUGAUUAAACAAGUUCCAACGUAUGCAAAAUUCCUAAAGGACUUAUGUACUAUCAAAAGAGGCUUGAAUGUGAAUAAGAAAACCUUUUUGACUGAGCAAGUGAGUGCCAUCAUACAAUGCAAAUCUCCUUUGAAGUACAAAGAUCCGGGAUGUCCUACCAUUUCAGUUAUGAUUAGAGGAAAGGUAGUGGAAAAAGCUUUGUUAGAUUUGGGAGCAAGUAUGAAUUUGUUGCCAUACUCUGUUUAUAAGCAAUUGGGACUUGGUGAGUUGAAGCCAACAUCAAUCACCCUAUCUCUAGCAGAUAGAUCAGUAAAAAUUCCAAGGGGGGUAAUUGAGGAUGUCUUAGUUCAAGAUGAUAAUUUCUACUAUCCGAUAGAUUUUGUUCUUCUUGAUAUGGAUCCUACUGUAAAGGAAGCUAAUUCAGUUCCUAUCAUCCUUGGAAGGCCAUUCCUUGCUACCUCAAAUGCAAUCAUCAAUUGUAGGAAUGGACUCAUGCAACUCACUUUUGGCAACAUGACACUUGAGCUCAACAUUUUUUAUAUGUCUAAAAAGCAAAUCACUCCGGAAGAAGAAGAAGGUCCAGAAGAGGUAUGCAUUAUCGACACUCUAGUGGAGGAGCACUAUAAUCAGAAUAUGCAAACAAGCUCUGAAGAUGUUUCCUCAAAGAAUGAGUGGCUAGACUUUUUGUUCCUUGGAGUUAAGGUUGUCGGGAAAGGUUCCAAGUGCAAGAAUUAGUAGCUUUGUGGUUUCAGCCAUUAAUGAAGAGAAAGUCUGAUCCUUUAAUGAUUUCUAUGUUUUUAGUUAACUUAAAACACCUUCAAUUCACUUGAGCCAACACUUGGUAAGGCAAGUGAUCUCCGUCCAUGGAGAGGCACUAGUUUACCUCUUGCGAGCUUUUGGGAAGUGACUUGAAGGUAGGAUUUUCUAGAAUUGCCAACACUUGGUAAGCUUUUGGAUUCCAAUGAGACAUCCAUUAGUUAUCUCUUGCGAGCUUGAGAAGGGAAGUCCAAAGUUAAAGAUCACCUUGAAUGGCAAAUGCUAGGUGAGAGGCAUGAGCCAUUGCAAGUUGCAUCAGUGAGAGGGAAUUAGAGCUGAAAUCCAUUUAAAGGAUACAUCUGUACAACACCGAUUAGAGAAUUGACUAUAUGUUAAUUCUCUAAUGCGAGGAAAUGAACCAAAUGACCGGAGCUCUGUCUUUGCAUGAGGAACCUCCUCUGUGAACCUAAACCUCCAAGGAAUGUUUUUCUUCAUAAGUAACUUCCAUUACUUCCUUUGCCGUUAGUUUAAACCUAAACCUUUUUCAACCAAAAUUUGUGUUUUAUUUCUUAAGCUAACCUUGAAAUGAAAGGGCACCAAUUCACUUUGAAUUGGUAUCAUUUAUGAAUUGAAAACCCUUCCCAGUGAACGAUCUUAGAGCCACUAUGUUAUAGUAGCUUUGUCUUUGCUACCCUAGUUCAUGGUGUAAUAGGUUAUAAAAUUUGUUGAUUACUCCCUCAAUCAAGGAGCACCAACUGGACAUAAAUCAGCUGAUACACCAAUUGGGCACGAAUCAAACGCCAAAUGGAAAAUGCUAAUGGCUCUGAACGUCGAACCGAGAAGAGAUAGUGGCUCUGAAUACCAAAUGGGAAAUGUUGAUGGCUCUAAACGCCGAGACUGAGAAGAAAUAGUGGCUCUGAACGCCAAAUGGAAAAUGUUGAUGGCUCUGAACGCCGAGACUGAGAAGAAAUAGUGGAUCUGAAAGCCAAAAGGAACAUGUUGAUGGCCUUGAACGCCGAGACUGAGAAGAAAUAGUGGCUCUGAAUGCCAAGUGAAAAAUGUUGAUGGCUCUGAAUGCCAAGACUGAGAAGAAAUAGUGGCUCUGAACGCCAAAUGGAAAAUGAUGAUGGCUCUGAACGCCGAACUAAGAAGAAAUAGUGGCUCUGAACGCCAAAUGCGAAAUGCUGAUGGCUCUGAACGCCGAGACUGAGAAGAAAUAGUGGCUCUGAACGCCAAAUGGAACAUGCUGAUGGCCUUGAACGUCGAGACUAAGAAGAGAUAGUGGCUCUGAACGCCAAAUGGGAAAUGCUGAUGGCUCUAAACGCCAAUCUGAUAAGAAAUAAUGGCUCUAAACGCCAAAUGGAAAAUGCUGAUGGCUCUGAACGCCGAGACUAAAAAGAAAUAGUGGCUCUGAACGCCAAAUGGAACAUGCUGAUGGCCCUGAACGUCGAGACUGAGAAGAAAUAGUGGCUCUGAAUGCCAAGUGAAAAAUGUUGAUGGCUCUGAAUGCCAAGACUGAGAAGAAAUAGUGGCUCUGAACGCCAAAUGGAAAAUGUUGAUGGCUAUGAACGCCGAACUGAGAAGAAAUAGUGGCUCUGAAUGCCAAGUGAAAAAUGUUGGAGGGAAAUAUGCCCCAGUGUAGCGUGUCACCACAACUCUCGAUCCAUCGGAAGGGUCUAGAAGAGACUCUAUAAGUCUCGAAAGAUGCUCGGCUAGUGAAUCGGGACGAUCAAAUCGCAUGAUCCACUAGGGAAUCUCCAGAAAAGCGAUCUGAUAGGGUAACUCCCGUGAUCUUAAUACAACCAUCUACUGAAGAAUCAUGGAUAGCGAGGCAGUCACAACCCGAACGUCCUGCCCCACUGAAAGCUCACCUCGAUGAAAAUCAAAGGAGUAGUGACCAGAUGUGGAGCUUGAAAAGCCCAAAAUUUGAAGAAGGUUGAUUUGAACUAGAUCCAAAUGAACACCGUGUUGAAACAGGGAUGUGGACCUUAAUUCAAAUUCAACCAAGCUAAGCUUGAAAACUAACUUUUUGUAACCGGGGGCUUUCUUUUAUGCUUCUCCAAUGUUUUCAGUCAAGAUUGCUAAAUUGACUGAUUAAAAUGAUAUGGUUAUGAGGCCUGGACCUAGGGCCAGUAUGAAUCCGCAUGAACUUGAUAAUGAGGCCCUAGCACUUAAACCUGUCUUUUGGUUCCAUGCUUGCAAGGAUUCACCACAACCCUCAAAACAAGGAGGCAAAUCAAACAAGAUUGCAGAAAAUUCUACGGUUCUGGGCUUCGAAGGAAGUUUAUGAUCAUGAUACAAUUUAUGGGCUUUAGGGUGAGAUGAUUGGUGGACCCCCAAGCAAUUCUUUCUCAAGCCCUAUUAAGGAGUUAUCUGUUGUUCCUAUGGAUUCUCUCAGCUGUUCCAGGCGGUGCGAUCCUCCCCCCUAUAAAACCAACCUCACAUCUCUCUCAUUCACAUUUCAUUCACAACAUAUCGAAUAGUGGGUUGAGACCUGAUUAUCUGAUUGUUGGGUAUUUCAAAAGACACAUUUCCACAAAUUUUUUUAUCAUACACAUUAAAAAAAUUGAAUUUUUACUCAAGGUGUCUCUUGAAGAGACACUUUCCAUAAUUCUAUAAAAUUAAAUUCAUAUUAAAGGUGUUUCUUUGAAGAAACAACUUCAAAAAAAUAAAAUAAAAUCUAUCUAUUAAUUAGUUUUAUCCUGAAUACAACUAAAUAUUUAAAUUUUAUCACAUGUAUACAUCAUAAUCAAUAUUUUGACCUUUCAAUAUGUGGACUUGUAUUUUUCACGAUGCAUCCAACUCAACUGGCGAGACUUGUUUUCUUUUAAUGAAAAAUUGUAUUUUAUAAAAUAUUGGAGUUGCCACUUACUUCUAUUUAUUUUUAAAGGGGAAAUUAAGUAAAAACAAAACCCCUAAAAUGACUCAUGAUUUUUGGAAAAGCUAUAUGCGAAAAACUCGAGUUUAGGUCUGUGGAUCAGGUUACCUAACGAGAAGGUACCUCCAAAGAGGUAACAUCCCUCUAAGCCCUAACGAGGUCUCUACUACCUAAGUUGAGGGAAAUAUGACAAUUAGUCAAUUUAUUAUGGAUACCUAGAUAGGCUAAGGUGAUUUCGAAUGUUUGUUAAUUCUAACAUGCCAAACAAGGGUUCUAAACACAUUUAUAAAGAAAGGAUAGUAUGCAUACCUGAACUGCAACUUAAGCGCUAUCACAAAACAUCAAUGGUUAGUUAAAAAAAACUCAGAACCUAUAUUUUACCCUAGUCUCUUAAUCAUACAUGGCAAGUCAACAAGCAAUAAAAAAGAUAUGAAAUGAAGAUGUGAAGGUAAGAAGCAUACCUAAAUAACGUAGAUAACUUACAAUGCGCUUCCACAAUACAUGGGAGGUUGAAUCAAAGUUAUAAUAAUAGACAAUUAAAAAAAAGUAAUCCUAGUGUGCAUGGUGUUCGAAUAGCAUAACAGAAAUAACCAGAGUAUAAGGAAACACCAAUUAUCACACAAGUCAUGUAUACAACUCCAAAAAUCAAGGGUUAUGAUUAAAACAUGUAGCAAAAGGGGUAACGCACUAUUAUCAAAAGGAAAAUUAUAAAUUAAUAUUUAGGAACAUCAUUUGAUCAUGAAAAAUUAAGAAAACCUUUCUAUUAUGUCUAUAUCACAAUACAACAACCAACAACAAAUUAUGAGAUGUUAAAUGGUCUUGAAUUAAACAACAAUGCAAGCACGAUGCAAAACUUCUAGUCCAUAAUCAGAAUAAGGCAUCUUUAAGAAUAAAUCCUAAGAAAAUAAAAUAAAAUGGAAUUUGAUCAUACCAAAUCACAAAAGACUCUCGUCAAUGUCUAUAAAAACAUGCCAAAGUUCAAGCAUUCAAUUAAAUAACAUAUUCAAUUCAAAAUAUCCAAAAGUUCCAAAAGGUCUAGAAUUUGGCAGAAAAUAGUAACCAGUGUAAACUGAAUUUUAAAAAUACCUAAAAGCCUUUUAAAUUCAUAAAAAAAACUCACACAAGUCAUUUAAGAUGUCUAGAUAGUCCAAAAAUUUAAUCCAAGGUCAGAAAGCAUUCAUAAGAAUUUUUAGAAUACUAUAAUAUAUCAGUUGUCAAGAUUCAGUCAUGUAAAGUGUGACUUUGAAAAAUCAUAUCUCCGUCAAGAAGACAUUUUUUUUUAAUAAUUUAUGUGUUAAAAUUCAAUUUCAAGAAGUCAAUAAUCUGGGAAAAAUAUUAAUUUAAAUUGAAAAGAUCAAAAGGUAAUUUAAUUUUUCAAAACAAGAUUGAGUGUCAAAAACAAGGUGGAAAUUGAACCUUCUGAAAAAUUGAUUUAUUCUUAUAAUUAGAAAACCAUAUUUGAUCUAAGCAAGAUUAUAUAAUCAAGUUCAAAGAGUCUAGAAUGUCAUGGAAUAGUUAUAAAAAUUUUAAAGGGUAUUUAAGUUAUCAGAUUCCAAUUUAUGAAUACAGAAGUAAAGUGAACUAUCCACAAUUUCAAUGAAAAACUAUGUUUUGAAAAAAAAAAAAAUCUUUGUAUGUAGGGAUCUAUUAAAUCCCAUUUUAAUUUCCAUGAAUUUAUCCAUAAAGACUCCAUUUAUUGCACUAUGAAACUUAAUUCAUGUAUACUCAAAACCAAAAUUCAUUUUAAAACUUUUUUUCAAAUAUGCAUACCGAAUAAAAUUGGUUGCAUGAAUUUUGGAAAAUUGAAUUUUCAUAACCUAACAAUGUUUAAGAUGAAUUUGAAAAUUUGAGAAUUAACUUUUUUAGAAAGCUAGAUUGAAAAGCAUUUUGAAAACGCUAACAAAUACAAAUAAUCACAUAAAAUCACACAACCAAAAGAAGAAAAUUCCUAAGGAAACAAAGUGGUGUGUGCUGAAAGUGAGUGAAUCAUGCUGAGUUGUGUGUGAUGAGAGUGGAAGUGUGGUUGAUGUGUGUGUGUUCAUAGUGGCAACCUGGUGGUCUCCUUCUCUAUGCAGCUGUGUGUGCCUUCUUCAUCAGUUCGACUAGUGUGUGUUCUUCGAAAUUCAGUUGGUGGUGUUCUUUUUCACAAGCUUAUGCAAAUUCUCAAAAUUUAGCAAUCUAAUGCGUGCUUGUGCUAGCAACCUAGUGGUUUCAAAAUCUGAUGGUGUGAUAAUGUGUUUAUUGUUUUUCUCUUCACCACCAUGCACUAUCAACUCACCUCUCCACCAUUAACAGUCGUACACAAUCAGAUUGCCUCCCCAAAGUUCUAAAAAUUCCAAUAAUUCUUUUAUUCCCACCAAAAUUCAAAUCUGUCCAUUAACAGCCACUUCUCUAAUACCUUCUCAUCCUCUUCCCUUCAAGCCAAAACCAUGCACUAAAUCCGUGUGACUCUAGAACAUUUUGUCGCCUUCUUUUUUCCAUACAUCGUGCACAAAACAGCCUCCAUUUUAGAAAAAUCUAGUGCUCACACCAAUCCCUACCGUGUUCAUAAUCAGCUUAGGUGUUCCCCACGCUCUAAUGCUCUCCACUUUACAAAUUCUGAUUUUCAUAUUUCAUUCCUCCACUAAGCCGAAUCUGGUAUCAUCUCACCAAAUACCCAUACCUUUUCAUCCAAUCAUCAACUUCAUAUCGUUCUUUCAAACCAAUGCACUCAAUUUUAACCAUUUAAAAAAUGAAUUCACGCAUUCAUUCUUCCACCAGAAAAAAUCCCCUCCUUUCCAAUCCAUCAUUCCGAUGAUAUUUCUCAUACCCAUAUGCGUGUGUGCAUGGCUAUUUGUGGGUACAACCCAUGAAAAAAAAAUUGUGCAUGGAGCCCUUUUCUGUGCACAACUUUAAAAAAAUUCUGGGGGUCUCUCAAGAAAAUGGACUGUGCGUGUGUUGAAACAAUUUUCAAUGGAUGCAAUUGUAUUCCAGAUGACCUUCCAUACCACUCUCAUGCUGAAUGGGGCAUGUUGUGUCUUUCUUUUUUUCAAAACCUCGUCCUCUCCCUCAACAUUAACAAGAAACCAAACAAUAGGCAGAAAAGAACAAAAACACAUAAAUGAUGUAGGUUAAAGAAAAAAAAACAUAGAACCUAGCUCCAUUUCAUUGAUUCUCAAUGGGCUUUAAACGGGUGAAACCAUUAGGAAGCUGAAGAAGCUCUCAAGGAACAAUUUUAAAACAAUCCAUGCAUCAAAUAUUUAUAGGAGAGGUUAAUGAAAGAAAAGAAACACAGUAAAACCCAAAACAGAGCAUGUGCAUACAUAAUCAUAUUCCACAAGAUAAACUUCAAGUAAUGCCUAACAAAGCAAUGAACAUGUCAAUAGCAAUACGCAUGCAGACACACCAAAUAUUUGCAAAGCUCAAUAUGCAUCCUCUAUUACCCACAAACAAAUAGACAAAUAAUGUCUAAGUAACAAACAGAACAAUAGUAAUGAGGAAUAAUCAAUUAAAAAAAUGCAAAGAAACCAUACUUGAAGGUGCUCUUCUAAUCUUCCCUCGGAUUGGUCAGUUUUCCUUGUUCCCCUCUCCCCCUUUAGAGAAUCUUUUCUUGUCUCUUUUCUGUUUCUCUCCACUCUUCCUAAAAAGUCAGAACCUCCACUUUCCUCUUUUUCAUUCCUUCCUCUCAAGGCUUUUCCAUCUCAUUUUCCUUAUCAAAAUCCUUCUUCUUGAAGGUUUCUCUCUAUCCUGUCGAAAAUCACCUUUCUUCCUCAUGCAAAAACCCUUUGGAAAUCCCCUCUUUCCUUCUUCCCCAUCAUCUCUUGUUUCCAUUGUAAGUUUUCUUACCUUCAAAUUUUUAUUUUUUUAUAUUGUUUUUAAAUAAAUAAAUAAAUGAUAACAACAAUAAUAUCAAUAAUAAAAAUAGAUAAGUAACACAUAUUAAAAUGUGAUAAUAAUAAUAAUAACUGUAAUAAUAAUAGUAAUAAUAAUAGAAACAAUAAUAACAAAAAACAAUUCUUAUGAUGAUGAUAACAAAAUAAACAAUGACUAAAAAAAUGAAUAAAUAAUUAAAUAUAAGUAUGUGACACACAUUUACAAAGAAGAUCAUGCAAGCCAUGCAAGCUACGUCAACCAUGCAAAUAACUUAUAGGUGUUGGAGUAAGCCUAAGUGGACUAGGUGCACCUAGAUGGACCGGGUAUGCCUAAUGGGUUUGGGUAAACCUAAUGGGCCUAAAUAUGUCUAACCAAGCUAUUAUAAAAGUGUACCUAGUAUCCAAAGUGGCUCAAAGAGGUAAGUUAUAUGAGUAUCGAUGGGCCACCAGGAACUACUUUGGAGUGUUGAAAGAACAUUUAAUCAGGGCAUGUGACAAGGGGACAAAAUGGAGGGUUUACACAAUCCAAUAUCAAUCAAAAUGAGUAAACCAAAUGUCAAUUAAGUCGACACUUUCUAAAAUAGUAGCAAUAUUAUUUUGUCUAAAAUAAUUCCAAAAUAGGUACAAUACUAAAGAACUUAUGUUGUUAAUCAACAAUUACUAAAUCUAAAAUAGAGUAAGUAAUAAAUAUACAUUAUUACUAUUUGUCCAAAAUAAUAACAUGCAAAGUAUUAACAAUAUCCAAAAUAGAAAUCAUAUAUAGUAACAUCCUUAAUAUGUACAACACGAAUGAGCUUUCCUUUUUCGUUGUGGACGUCAAUGAUAUGCAUGUUUCACUAUUGGUUGUAGGGGGUUGACAUGUGCUCUCCCAUUUCCUUGAUGACCACAUUCCUCACCAUGUCCUCGACCACGAUAAUCCUCUUGUCCUUGUUGAUCAUCAUUUGUUGUAUGAACUAGCUCCUCAUCAACCAAUGUAGUCUUUAAUGGUUAUGGUCAUAAUGCAACAAGUGGUACUACAAGUGAGGUGGAUGACACCUCCACAGGUGUAAUAGGAGUCUCCUCCAUAGGUGGUGGGCCAAUGACAAUCAAUGGUGCAUCUACAAGAAUAGGUAUAUGCCUAGUCUCCCUCCCAUGAGCCCAUUUUCCUUUAGUUCGUACACCUCUUGAUCGAUGCUAGAGAUGUGUAGUAACAACAACAUUAAAUCAAGUCUAAUAUUACAAAGGUGGAAGAGUGGAUGAUAUCAACUACUAAUGAGGUGGUAGACUGAUGUUAGUUUAUGGUGCACAUAUAACAACUAGUGUAUGCUUAGUCUCCCUUUUAAUAGGCCAUUGUCCUAGUUUGUAUGCCUCCUAAUCGAGGCUAGAGUUGUGUAGAAGCAUCAACACUAAAUAGAGCAUCUAAGUGAUCCAUCUCAUGUAUGCCCUCUAAUACAAUAGUACACAAUCUAUGAAUAUGCAUAUCAUUUGGAGGUGCAAUAUCAUAUAUAUGAUGUAUGAUGGAAUUUGUAAGUCAAAUAUGAGAUAAGUUAAAUUCUUAUAAAAAUAAAAUAAAUUUCAAUAAAAAGUGAAGACAUGCAAAUUACCAAUAGCUCAUGGAAGGACCUAGUCUGAGUAAGAAAUAAAAGAGUAACAGAGAGGUACCACACCAUCUAUGGAUCAUAAUAUCCCAAUGGACCUAUAGCCAUCUCGUCCCUAGCAAUAUGUUUGCUCCUAGAGCUCCAACAUAGAAUAUUGUCUCGAUGUUGAACAGUCCAAUCAACAUCAAGUCUACCUCUAAAAUCACAUUUAUGUAAGAUUGACUCAUUAUCACAUGGCUGAGAAAUCCCUUGACAAAAUCCAAACUGUCGUAAUACUCAGUCAAGUCUAUGUCAUUCAACUAUAUGUGGAAACAUAUUAAAGGUGAGAUAAUGCACCAUAUAUCUUUCUCAACUGUACAAUAAUCAAGAACUUCAACAUUCAUGUCAUCAACAUAAGGUUUUCAUUUAAUUUAUAGUAAAGAAAGGUUAGAUAUAAUCAAUGGUUUGAAAUUUCUUUAGAGAAAAAAAUUUAAGAAAUGAAUCAAACUUUUAUCACCUGAUCUACGGUAAGUCGAUCAAGCUAGUGCCUAUACCGAACUAAGACAUGCAUGGAUGUCGAAGUAGUACAAAACUCAUAUCUCCAACUAUAAAAAUAAAAAACAAAGAUUAAAUAAAAAAAUAAAUGUUAGAAUUUAAGUUUAUAUAUCCUCAUAAUAGUAAAUUGAUGGUAAUGAUGCAUAUGUACUGUAUGGUUAAUGGAGAUAGAGGCAGUUGGUCAUCAUAUGAAGUUAUAUGUAAACAAUGAGAUGCAUUAAAAAGGAACCUAUCCCAUACCCACAACUGGAGUAAAAAAAGUAGACUAGAUAUAUCAUGUAUAUCACUUUAAGAUACUCGACACAAUUGUUGAUAAAGUCAAGCUAAAUAGGCGUUACCCUAACUAUAGCUAUCAACAACCUCAAAAUCCUCUGGAACAGGUUGAAACAUAAGAUACACCUUAUCUCUAGACUUUUCUGAAAAAGAAAACCUCUAAUGAGUUGUAAGAUAUAUGCCUUGGUAUAAUGCCAAAUAGACUACUCAUCAAUAUCUAGUGUCAAAAUAGGGAAGCUUUGACUUAACCAUGUAACAUGAAUAUGAUCGAUUGAUUUUGUCGAUUUAUCAUAUCAAAACACAAUUUUUAACCUGAUUCACUAUUCUAGAGUAGCUUGUACCCAAUCAAAAAUAGUUUUAGUACAAACUAUCGUAGUAUAGUGGUUUUUAGGUGUCAUUCACUAGGAUGGAUUAUUCUCGGUAAUUAAGGAUUGAAUGAGAGGAUAAGAAAUGAUUGUGAUCAAGUGAAAUUUAUUUGAAAAUUCAUGGUCAAAAAUAAGUUUAACAAUGGUCUCAAAUUAAGAAGAACAAUGAAAUGUAAAAUAUAAGAAAAUUAAUAGGAACUGAAAUUCUCAGAGUUAAAAUUUUCUAGAAAACAAAUUCCACGAUGAAUAGAUGUUGAGAUCUAAUUUUUAUCAAGUUUUAUUGAAAACCUAAAUUUUCAUCUAAACCAAUCUUUGAUUUAACUUUAGGUUCACAUCUAAUUUCUCUUCAAAUUAGGUCAUUUAAUCCAAGAGAUCAAUUCAAAUCAUAUAUUCAAUUCAUCUUAAAUUAUCUUCCAAUGAUUCACACAAUGCAACUAUUCAAUCUCAUCAAAUCUAGCUUUAAGAAUUUAAUGAGUCUACCUAGUUUGCAUUGUAGUAGUCAUCCAAGACAAUUUGAAGAGAAAAAUCCCCAAAAUUUAAUUAAUCAAUCAAUUGGAUCAAAUUACCUUUGUAAUUCAAGCUCAUUUCUCUAAUUCACCAUGAAUCUUGCUUUUAGAUCAUCAUUUCUCUGAGAAAAACGAGAUUUAGCCACUCAUGCUUAGAGAUUUGGUCUCAUAAGGCAUGUUUAGCUAGUGAGAAAAUGAGAGAAAAUAAAGGAAAAUAGACAAUUCUAUUGAGAGAGAAAAUCUGGAAAAUUCUACAAUUAGAAGUGUCCAAAAAGCUUCUCACAUGAGAAAUUCAAGUUUCUAUUUAUAGGCCAAGGUCAAGUGGACACUUGGCAACCUCUCAUUGGUCUUCUAGAACCUUCUAAAUUUAAAGAAAUCUGGAAGUUUAACAUUUCACAUGAAAUCUGGAGAUUUCGCAUAAGAUAUUCACAUUUCGCACGAUCGUGCGAAAUUCUAAGGUGAGUGGUUAAAGCAUGUUCAAACACUUUCUAGACCAUUUCGCAUGAUCAUGCGAAAUCAACUUACACAUCUUCCUUAGCUUGCAACCAAUUUUCCUUCUCUAGUUCAUUUCCUACAAUCAUGUGAAAUUUUUGCAUGAUCAUGCAAAUCUGCAACAUUUGGUUUUUGAGCUUUCCUUUGUCAUUUAUUCCAUUUCCUUCUUUUGAUUCCACCUUAACUACUUCCAAUUAGCUCAAAUCUCGGUCCAAACCAAUUGCUUUACUUAUUUCAUUAUGCAUUUGGAUUACCAUUAACAUUAUUUGUUCUCUUCAAUUUGAGUCAUCUCUUGUCAUCAAUUUAUCAAAAUCAUUCCUUGAAAUGACUCCAAAACUUCAUAAAACUUGUUAGUAACUCUUUCAAGGGAAACAACAUGUUAAUUGAGUGUUUUAAGCAUAAUUACUACUCAAAAUUGUGAAACUCAUGAGAAUUAUUAUCUAAAAUAUUCUCUUUUUUAUGAUGAUGACAAUGUCCAAAGAAAACAUGAUUUCAAUGAUUCACAUAGAGUUUUUAAAAUUUCACACAAGUGUGCAAACUAGACAAGAAGGUGAAGUGUGUUGCAACUACUCUCUUCUUUUAAAAUAAUUUGGCACAAUCAUGCAAAAAUUCGCAUGUACAUGCGAAUAAGUCAAGAGAGCUCUAUCUUAUUGUAGCCUUCAACAUAAUUUUUGCAUGGUCAUGCGAAUUGGUCCAGAGGCUUAAAACUGCUGCAGUCAUCCACAUUAGUUUCGCACAGUCAUACAAAAAUUUCACUUGAUCAUGCGAAAUGAGACAAAAACCCAUUUUUUAGCAUUUUCAAAACUAUGAAAACUCCCAUGUUUUUGGCAUGAAUUCCCUUGUUUUUUGCAUGAAUGUGUAAACCGGUGAUGGGCCAUUAAAACUCCUUUUUCCUUACUUCAUGCAUUCCAUCCAUCUGAAAAGUCCUUCAAAACACAAAUAAAAAAUUUGAAAUGGAUUUAUUUAAUGGAAACUAAAAAAAAAUCAAUCAAUCAAAAUUCAAAGGAAAGUGGAGAAAUGCCAAACCAUUGGGCUAGCUAGCCAUUGACAUGACUAAGCCCAUUAACCUUUACACCAAUACUCGAUUUGGAUAUGGCUUGCAAACAAUGAAUUGACUAACUCCUUGGUACUUAAGCUUUCCCGAAAAAAGAUGUGGCUUGAAAUAACCUUCUUUGAACUUGUUCUUUUAAAUAAGUUGGUCAUGCCAUUCCUUGAACUUCUUUUUCAUGGUCUUUGAAUUAUUGUGCAUACCAUACUUCAUGGUUUUCACUUUCUUCAAGAUGAAAGACCAUUUCAUUAACUUCAAAGGUUGAAUUUCUUCAUUGAUCUUCCAAACUUCAAUCCGUUCAUUGGAAAUUGUUUCACCAAGUUUUGAAAAAUUAUCUUCAACCUUUUCCUUGGCAUAGGCUGUAACUUGUCUAAUCAUGUCAAGGAGUGCUAUAUUGACUUUUGCUUGCUUUAAAACUUCAAAAAAAUUUAGAGCAUUAUUUACGACUUUCUUAGAUUGAAGAGCCAUGGGAAAAGGUGGAGCUAAGAGCAUAUCCUUGUUCAUUUUAGCUUCACUCUUCUUCUCUUUCAAAACUUUCAGCUUUUGUUCUUUUACUCUUCUCAUCAUCUUCAUUCUUCUCUUUCUUCUCUUUUGGUUUUGGCAUAGGUUGAUCAACUUGCUUACCACCUCUUAAGGUAAUGGUUGCUUUGAUUUCAUACUCUUUAGUAGAACUUUCACUUGUCUCUCCAAUUUCAUGGACUCCACUUGGAUUUUGUUAGGGUUGUGAAGAAAAUUUUCCUUUUUCUUGCACCGUAUGCAUGCUUGUGAGUUUAGAAAUAGCAAAUUACAUAUUAUCAAUCUUUUGUGUGAGAUUGGUUUACAAGCUAUCAAAUUUAUGAUUGAAAGAUGUCUUGACAUGAUCUAUCCUUUGAUUUACUUGAGUAUUGAUAUUCUUUUUAUCACUAAUAAAAUCUCCCAAAAUUUUACUCAAGUUUACAAUAGCUUGCUUAACCAAAUAAACUUGUUGUGGAGAGUCUUCCAUGAAUUAUUAGCUUUGUGAGUAUUGGCUUGAAGAAAAUUGCUCUUGUCCACAAUUCCAUGACAUGUUCAGAUGAUUCUCAACGAGUCUUUCCCCCAUAGCUGGUAUUAUAGGACAAUCACUCAAUUCAUGUUCUAUAGAUUGACAACCAGAACAUUGCUCCAUGUAAAUUGGAUUGUCAUAUAUUGCAUUCACCUCAUGAAAUCCCUUACCUUCAAGUUCCUCUAGCCUUCUUGUCAAAGCUAUCAUUUUAGCUUGUAGAUCGACAUUUUCAUUCAACAUAUACAUUCCUCCAUUUCAAUUGCUUUGAGACUUGGACUUGUGUAAAUCCCUUUCAUGUGGCUCAUCCCAUGACCCUGAUAUUUCAACCACAUAAUUCAAAAUUUUAAAGGCUUCAUUAGGACUUUUGCUCAUAAAGUCACCUCCACACAUGGUUUCUAGCAAUUGCUUCAUAGUUGGCAGCAUGCCCUCAUAGAAGUAACUCACCAAUAUCCAUGUGUUAAAACCAUGAUAAGGACAAGCAUUGACUACUUCCAUAAAUAUUUCCCAACAAGCAUAAAAAAUUUUAUUGUUCAAUGCCACAAAGUUGAUAAUUUGCCUUUCCAAGCCACUAGUGCGAUGUGUGGGAAAAAAUUUCUUCAAGAAGGUUGUUUGUAGUUCCAAACAUGACCUUAUGCUUUGGGGCCUAAAUGAGUUGAACCACAACUUAGCCUUAUCCUUCAAUGUGAAUGGAAAAAUCUUCAAUCUCAUAAGCUCUAUGGAUGCAGUCCCUUCUUGAAAAGUAUGACAUACUUCUUCAAAAUCCUUUAUAUGAGUUUAAGGAUUCUCAUUCCCCAUUCCAUGAAAUUGAGGGAGAAGUAGUACCAAGUGAGUUUUUAUCACAAUAGGCUCAUUAGGAAGAAUUAUACAAGAUCCCACGCCUAUCCUUUGAGGAUGCAUAUAUUCUCUCAUUGAUCUAGACAUCUGAGAAUUAUCAUUGUUUGGUCUAUGAUGACUUUGUUGGUCUUUCCCUUGAUUUUCCAUUUCUUCAACAAUUGGAUCACAAACCAAAGAUGGUUAGCAAUGCAAGUCCUUUUCAAUCUCUCCCUCAAAUUUUAUUCUUAAUGUAGCAUGCAAUGGAGAGCCUACAAAACAAGCCAAAAAAAACCAAAACAAACCAAGAAGAACAAAAAGAGAAAUAAAAGAUAAAAAUUGAAUAAAAAAUAAUAAGAAAAAUGAAGAAUUGGUAAAGAGAACUUCACCAAUCUUGUGAUGUGGAUCACAAGGGUUAAUCCUCACAAAAAAAAAAAAAUGCCUCAAUCACCUUGGCACCAUCCCAAGCAACGACAUCAUUUUUUAUCAAUUGAUUUUUUCGAUUUAUUGCAUCAAAACACAAUUUAUAACCUAAUUCCCUAUUCUAGAGUAGCUUGUACCUAAACAAAAAUGGUUUUAGUACAAACUACCAUAGUAUAGUGGUUUUUAGGUGUCAUCCACUAGGAUGGAUUAUUCUUAGUAAUUAAGGAUUGAAUGAGAGGAUAAGAAAUGAUUGCGAUCAAGUGAAAUUUAUUUGAAAAUAUAUGGUGAAAAAUAAAUUUAACAAUGGUAUCAAAUUAAGAAGAAUAGUAAAAUGUAAAAUAGAAGAAAAUUAAUAGGAAAUGAAAUUCUUAGAGUUAGAAUAUUCUAGAAAACAAAUUCCAUGGUGAAUAGAUGUUGAGAUCUAAUUUUCAUCAAUUUAGAUUGAAAACCUAAAUUUUCAUCUAAACCAAUUUUUUAUUUAGUUUUAGGUCUAGAUCUAAUUUAUCUUCAAAUUAGGUCAUUUAAUCCAAAAGAUCAAUUCAAAUCAUAUAUUCAAUUUAUCUUAAAUUAUCUUCCAAUGAUUCACACAAUGCAACUAUUCAAUCUCAUUAAAUCUAGCUUUAAGAAUUUAAUGAAUCUACCUAGUUUGCAUUGUAGUAGUCCUCCGAGACAAUUUGAAGAGAAAAAAUCCCCAAAAUUCAAUUAUUCAAUCAAUUGGAUCAAAUUACCUUUGUAAUUUAAGCUCAUUUCUUUAAUUCACCAUGGAUCUUGCUUCUAGAUCCUCCUUUCUUCGAGAAAAACGAGAUUUAGCCACUCAUGCUUGGAGAUUUGGUCUCACAAGGCAUGUUUGGCUAGUGAGAAAAUGAGAGAAAAUAAAGGAAAAUAUAGAAUUCUAUUGAGAGAGAAAAUUUGGAGAAUUCUACAAUUAAAAGUGUCCAAGAAGCUUCUCACAUGAGAAAUUCAAGUUUCUAUUUAUAGGCCAAGGUCAAGUGGACACUUAGCAACCUCUCAUUGGUCUUCUAGAACCUUCCAAAUUUAAAGAAAUCUGGAAGUUUAACAUUUCGCAUGAUUAUGCGAAAUGAACUUACACAUCUUCCUUAGCUUCCAACCAAUUUUCCUCCUUUGGUUCUUUUCUCAUGAUCAUGCGAAUAUGUAACAUUUGGUUUUUAAGCUUCCUUUUGUCAUUUCUUCCAUUCCUUCUUUUGAUUCCACUACCUCCAAUUAGCUCAAAUCCCAGUCCAAACCAAUUGCAUUACUUCUUUCAUUAUGCAUUUGGAUCAUCAUCAACAUUAUUUGUUCUCUUCAAUUUGAUUCAUCUCUUUUGUCACUAAUUUAUCAAAAUCAUACCUUGAAAUGACUCCAAAAUUUCAUAAAACUUGUUGGUAACUCUUGCAAGGGAAACAACAUGUUAAUUGAGUGUUUUAGGCAUAAUUACUACUCAAAAGAUGUGAAACUCAUGAGAAUUAUUAUCUAAAAUAUGCUCUUUUUUAGUAGUAAUUAGAAGGCAUUGCCCAUCUAUGUAUGUGUCCUCAGUAAUAAGACUUAAUAAAGAUGACACAUGUCUAUUAUUUGGACAUGUGCUACCAAUAAAUUCUACUCCAUCUACUGGUAGUUCAAGAAGAAUGGUAAUAUCUUGUAGUGUAAUUGUGCACUCCCCCUGAGGUAAGUGGAAAUUAUGAGUCUCUAGUUGCCAUAUUUCAAUAAAUACAGUAAUAAGGUGUCAAUCUAAGGAAAUGAAUCCUAAGCGUACAACACCAUAGAAGCCUGCUUGCUAUAGUAAUGGAAUAAUACGUCCAUAUGGUGCACUGGUGUGAUGGAAAAUUGCCUUACAAUGUCGACAAUAGAGUUCCUUUAAGUCAACACUUUUCCAUGCUAGAGAAGACUAGUGUGUGUCCUGUCCAUGUAGAAUUGUAAGAUCCAAUGGUCCUAAAUCCAUUAUGCGAUAAUGUUGGGAACUCUGGAUUGCUCCGUUCCCAUGCCCUGAAUCGCAUAGGGUGCAUGCAAACCUAUCCAAGGCUCUCUAAAUCUAUCGCAAUGGAUAAACAUGUAUUAAAAAUGAUAAGAAUACAAUAGAAAACAUAGAUCUAAAGAGUAAAGUCACAUACCUUUGAUUUGAAUGUUCUCAUAUAGAUUCCAAUUGAUGUAGAUAACUCCAAAGUCGUAGUAGAUCUCGUAAACACCAUGAUCUUCCACCCGAUGACUCUUCCUUGUGUCUAAGCACUGAGAUGGUGGAGAUCUCAAGGGUAGAGGCUAGGGUUCUCUCUCUAGACUAAAGGGGAGAAUGGUAAGAGAUUCAAACCCUAACCUUUAAAGGGGUAUUUAUAAGCUUCUUAUUAGGCUUAAGUUACUUAAAACCACCAUGGGCUUGGGUCACUUAAUCUAGCCCAAAAAGGUUGUUAAUUGAUUGAUUAACCAUAUAGGGCCCUAAUUAAUCAAUUAGCCUAGUCCAAAUAUGCCACUCACUUAUCCUUGUGCAACCUUGUGUAAUUACCAAAAUGCCUUUGUACACAAAAGUGAACUAAAAACCCAUCCAACCCUCAUAAACCGUGCUAUCAAGGAAUAUGAGCUCAGAGCGGGGACCACUAUGACCCAUAGGAGUACUGGCUCCCUCAUAAUCAAAUUCUAAAAUUGACUCAACAUCCCACUACAGAGAGUUAACUACACUCUAGUACCUUAUGUAAAUUACAACGAUACACUAAGUGCUCAGGUUAGUGACCUACUAUCCACUAUAUGCAAACUCCCCAUAAACUGGUGUCCAUAAUCUAUUGAAGUAGUGUUAUCACCUAUCAAGAUUACCUCUCAAAUCCUUGAGUUACAGAUCUCACUUAUUAUGUGAUCAACUUACUCUAGCUCUAAGGAGCAUAUGUCAAAUUCUACUAAAGGAAUUACUGUGGCCACAUAUUUCAUGAUCACAUGUUCUUUAGAUCACCAAGGGGACACACUGUCUCAAUCCCAUGAGAUAUCAUGGUGUUUCUAUUGAGAAUACCUAUUGCCACCAUCCUCCAUCAAUAGUGACCUAAUCCAUAGGGAUAUAUAACCACUUUAAGGUCUCACCCAUUGUAGACCCUCAAUUUUGUUCCUUUAGCACAUGCCUUUAAGUUCAUUUCCAGUGUUCCACAAUAGUUCCUUGGUGGCCCGUAGCUACUCACACUACUUACCUUUCUUGAGCCACCUCGGAGACUCUGGUUAAGGGAUUGCCUAACCCCUUAUUGUGACCCUUGGUAGUUUUUAUUAGACUUAAGCUUUUCAUUCCUUUUUAGGAUAGUGCUUAGGCAUGUUUAGGUCACUUAGAUCACUUUAGGACACUUAGUUCAUUAGGCACCCACUUAGGCCCGUUUAAACACUUCAUCGGGCUUAACUUUUAUAUAUAUAUAUAUAUAUAUAUAUAUAUAUAUAUAUAUAACUUUUAUUAUUAUUAUUAUUAUUAUUAUUAUUAUUAUUGCAUGCAUUCGAUGAUUAUAUUUAUUUUGUUUAUUCAUUUUCAUUUUUACUCUUUAUUUGUUUAUUAUUAUUAUUAUUAUUACUAUUUUUAUUUUUAUUUUUAUUUUUAUUUUAUUUAUUCUUAUCUAAUAGGAAAUUGCUUGAAUUGUUUAGACUCUAAAAUGUGCAAAUAACCCUUUAUUGAAUGGUGGAAUUAUAUAACCUGGUUUCUCUUUCUUUUUUCUUUCUUUUCUUUUAAAAUCGUAUUCAUUUUACUACCAAUCUCAUAAUUUUUCAUCAGUUUCUUCUCUUUUCUUUUACCUUUUUUAAUUUUAUUUUAUUCUGUUUUGCAUGAGGAGAAAAAUUGCAUGGGAUUUCUUCGAGAAGAUUAUGAGCAAGGCAAAGAUGUACAUGCAGCAAGAAAGAUCUGAGAAAUCCAUCUACAGAAUAUUACCGUAAAUUAUUAGUUGGGCAUUUAUACCCAUCUCUAGUGUGCGUCCAAGCAUCACGUGACCACCACUUUUCGGUUCCAAAAGGCUUUAAAAGGUUGUAGACGCAUGCGUUUUAAGGGGGGGCCAUCAAGCAUUCACUCGACAAGCAAGAGAAACACAUAGGCUGCAUUGUUCUCCAACAAUAUACAACAACAUACAUUCUUGAAGAGAAGAAGGUAGAUAGAGGCAAGCAAUGGGGUUUAACAUGAGAAGCAGAAGAGGGUUUUUGAAACAAAUUGGAACUCUUUACGCAUCCUAUACAACUUAUCAAAUUCAAAAUAGGUUUCUUCAUUCGACUAUGGCCAAACCCCUUUCUCCUUCAUCUGCCCAUACUCCACUGAAUUGCAACCUCAACUUUCCACUGAUCUUAUUGGGAUUAUGGAACAAAGGCUGUCAGCGAUUGAACAUAGGAGUGCUUAUCUUCAAUAUUUUAUAAAGUGGACAGCCAGAAGCCUCACCAAUGGAGUAUGCUAGUGUUGGGACAUCAUUUGUUUUUAUCCGGGUAGGGCCGCUGAGUAUAUUUGGUUCUGUGCCAGUCAGGGGCACCACAGAGUGGCCUUCCUAGGAUUCGAACUUGGGUCCAGGCCUUAAGGCUUAGGACGUUGCCUUCCUGGUACCAUCUAGGCUACUAGCUCAGAUGGUACCAGGAGGGCAACUGUCUGGGUUAAGGUCCCGAGUUCGAAUCCUGGUGACGUCACCCACAAAGGCCAAAUAAACAAAUGGCCCCAUAAGACUCUGCGUUGUCCGGCCCAUUCCGGCUGUGACGCCCCUGACUGGCACAGUUCAGUGGUAGGCUGGGCACCAGAGCAAAAAAGGUCGACGUUUAUGUUGGGACAUCAUUUGUUUUUAUCUGGGCAGGGCCGCAGAGUAUAUUUGGCUCUGUGCCAGUCAGGGGCACCACAGAGUGGCCUUCCCAGGAUUCGAACUUGGGUCCAGUCUUAGGACGUUGCCCUCCUGGUGACGUCCCCAGNNNNNNNNNNNNNNNNNNNNNNNNNNNNNNNNNNNNNNNNNNNNNNNNNNNNNNNNNNNNNNNNNNNNNNNNNNNNNNNNNNNNNNNNNNNNNNNNNNNNGUCAGGGGCACCAGAGAGUGGCCUUACCAGGAUUGGAACUUGGGUCCAGUCUUAGGACGUUGCCCUCCAGGUGACGUCCCCAGGCUUCGAACUCAGGACCUUAACCCAGACAGUUGCCUUCCUAGUACCAUCUACGCUAGUAUCCCAUAUGGUACCAGGAGGGCAACGUCCUAAGCCUUAAGGCCUGGACCCAAGUUUGAAUCCUAGGAAGGCCACUCUAUGGUGCCCCUGACUGGCACAGAGCCAAAUAUACUCCGCGGCCCUGCCCGGAUAAAAACAAAUGACGUCCCAACAACUAGGACUAAUAAGGAGCUUCGGAAACUCAGAAGUUCAAUCAAACAUAUUGAUUCGACUCAUGGUAGCUUAGCUUUAAAGGCGUAUCAACAAAAUUUAUACCUUAAAUACUAUUACUAAAGUAGCCAAGCUACUAUAGCAUAGUGGUUCUAGGAUCGUUCACUGGGAAGGGUUUUCGCAAACAGUAGUGAUAUUCAAAUUAGGAAAAUAGGUGAUUUUCUUAUGCAUGUUAGCUUUAAAAGAAGAUGUAAAUAUUUCAGAAAGAUUUAANNNNNNNNNNNNNNNNNNNNNNNNNNNNNNNNNNNNNNNNNNNNNNNNNNNNNNNNNNNNNNNNNNNNNNNNNNNNNNNNNNNNNNNNNNNNNNNNNNNNAAGUGGUUUAUAUAUCCCUAUGGAUUAGGUCACUUUUGAUGGAGGAGGGUGGCAAUAGGUAUUCUCAAUAGAAACACCCUGAUAUCUCAUGGGAUUGAGACAGUGUGUCCCCUUGGUGAUCUAAAGAACAUGUGAUCAUGAAAUAUGUGGCCACAGUAAUUCCUUUAGUAGAAUCUGACAUAUGCUCGCCAGAGCUCGAGUAAGUUAAUCCUAGGAAGGCCACUCUAUGGUGCCCCUGACUGGCACAGAGCCAAAUAUACUCCGCGGCCCUGCCCGGAUAAAAACAAAUGACGUCCCAACAACUAGGACUAAUAAGGAGCUUCGGAAACUCAGAAGUUCAAUCAAACAUAUUGAUUCGACUCAUGGUAGCUUAGCUUUAAAGGCGUAUCAACAAAAUUUAUACCUUAAAUACUAUUACUAAAGUAGCCAAGCUACUAUAGCAUAGUGGUUCUAGGAUCGUUCACUGGGAAGGGUUUUCGCAAACAGUAGUGAUAUUCAAAUUAGGAAAAUAGGUGAUUUUCUUAUGCAUGUUAGCUUUAAAAGAAGAUGUAAAUAUUUCAGAAAGAUUUAAACUAAUCUAAGCUAACAUUAAAGACUAAAAUGAAAGGGUGUAAAAACAAGUUUCUCAAAUAUAGGAUAGCGAUGCUUUGGCUCUUAUGCAAAUUGGAAAUCUCAGGAUAGGCUCCUCGCGUUGGGGUUGCAACUAUGGUGAUGCUUGCUUCCCGAACCGGUAUGGAUUUAGCAAAUCAAGUUUUAAUCCUUUAAAAUGGCAAAACAGAUGGUAGUGAAUUUCAUCAAUGGUUAUUCACCUUAGACUUCCUUUGAAUGGCUCGUAAGAGAUAACUAAUGGUCUAAAGCCAAAAGCUUACCAAAUAUUGGCAACUCAAAGUCAUUCCAAGUGAUAAACUCACCUUUCAAUGGCCAUUGAAAUUGGUUCUAAUGGAUUAAUGCAAAACUUGGAAUUGAAAACCUCACCUUCCAAUAGCUCGUAGGAGAUAACUAAUGGAUAGAAAUCCAAAAGCUUAUCAAGUAUUGGUCGUUGGAAGUUGUCCAAAGGAAAUAAAAACCAAACUUUGCCUUAAUGAACCUUUAAUGAAAAACGUCUACCUUACCUUCCGGGUGAGAGAAAUUUCCAUGGGAUUGCAUCCAAGCCAUCACAUAACAUCCAUACUUUGAGAAACUAAAAGUUUUAGCCAAUCAUCCUCUAAGGAAAAGCCCUUAGAGGCUGUUUGGCUACUAAGAAAAUAGAAACGGGAGAACAAGAGAAGAGAGAAAAACAGAGCAAGGCUCCGUCUCUGUAUAUAUGCGUCUCUGUCUUCAAGAGGUGAUUUCCACCCCUAAUAUAGUCUUUACAAAAGCAAAAGCUUGUGAUUGGUUAGUUACAAGGAUAAGAAAGGAAAUUACAUCACAAAAUACAAAGGAAAAUAUCUAAAGUGGAGUCGGCAAAGGCAGAGCAAAAUUCGCAACACGCAUGGGUUAUGCGAAUGUUAUGCGAAUGUUAUGCGAAUUUCGCAUAACACCUUGUGGAAUGCGAAAUUUUCGCAUAACCUGGAGCAGUUGGCUUCUGAAGGCCAUAUCUUCCUCAUUUCAGCUCCAAAUCGUGUAUGGUUUGAAGCGUUGGAUUCUUGACUUCCAGAGCUUUGAAAUGGUAUAUAGUAUGCAAAAAAUGGACUUCAGGAAGUGCUCCAAAAGUGCGAAAGAAGACUGCAGCUGCUGUCCUCUUUGCUUCUCUUCACUUUGCUUGCUUUUCCUCUUUGCUUCUCUUUGCUUGUGCUCGUGUUUCCACUUGAAAUUCAAGCUUGUAAAUGUCCAAAAUCCUUGCUUUAACUUGUCCAAGUAGCUCCUCCAUCAUUUGGCAUGCUUGAAUCGAUUCAUAAGCUGAUAAAAACAUGUAAACUUGCCACAAAAUGGUUAAAACCAAUUACUAAGGACCUUAAUGAAUUAAUUAGGUUAAAUGAAUAUGAUUACUACUCAAAGGUGCUUAAAACCAUUAUAAUUAGGUCUACAAAAUAGCACUUUUUGGUAGUAAUCACACCCCCCAACCGACUCAUUGCUAGUCCCUUAGCAAUGGAGGAGAUAAAAACUAAGUAAACUAUAAUAAUAUACAUAAAAGGGAUCAUGCAAAUCACUCCAAAAAAAUGAUAUGAGUGGCAUGAUGGACAUCCAUGGAUCAAUAAAGAUGUGAAACUCAACCUAUAAUAAGAGUUGUCAAAGCAUUCACUUGAUCAUAGAGUACAAAGAAUGGAUAUUAUGCAAGUUUAAGCAUCAAAAGAAUUUCCACUCUCAAAAGAUCCAAAUCAAAUUCUUCCACUAAAAGCUAAGUGUUAAUGUGAUUAGCUUCCGAGUAUAGUAUGGAUAACUAUCAUCUCCCCCCAACCUAAGUCUUUCUUUAAGCUUAGCAAAAUUAACCAUCUCUUGAUAGGCUAGGAACGCACCUCUUAUUCACAAUUCUUUUCACUUACUAAACUUAACCAAUUCACCCAUGUAACAAGCAGAGGAUCGGUGACUCCCAACCAAUAAAGGCUUAGGGCACCAGGCUUUAAAGGCUUUCGCCACCCCUUCGGACCAUGCUCAGGUUUAAAGGUAAGCAAAGAAGUUUAUUCUAUUUUUUUUUUCUUUUUCUUUUUCUUUUUCUUUUUUUUUUCAAAGACUCAUUGGUCUUUAUGAGGUGUCCCAACACUAUUAAAGAGAGGUUAAAGGUGUCAAAUUAUGAUUUCUCAAGCUUAGAGGGUGAUAUAGUUUCACAUCUUAUAACCGGAAUCUAAUGUAUGUUUGUGCGAAUAGCUUAAGGUGGAAGAGAUAAGUUUGCAUGCAAUGAGAGUUUCAACAAUUCAUCAACUUUUAGAAGAGCAUAAUACAAACUCUAAGACUCAUGUAAUCAAGUUGAAACUCGACUUCUCUCAUUUAAUUUUGAGAGUUAAUCCUUAAUAUCCAUGGAGUUUAAGCAAAAAUUUUAAAAUUUAAACAAAAGGUAGCUAAUUUAACUAAGUAUGAUAAAAAUUUAAACUAAUACUUACUUCCUCAUCUCUCCCCCCAACCGAGAUGAACAUUGUCCUCAAUGUUUGAAUCGAAAAUAAGGAGGAAGGAAGUGGUACCUCAUGUGAUGUGGACUUGGAGUUGAGAAGGUUGAACCACCUAUUUCAAAAUUCAAAAAUUGAAUGAGAGAGGAAUUUAUACUAAAUAUUUACAAAAAUGAUGAGUGGGCCCCACUUUGAGCAGCUGAGGACAAGGCUCAAAGGCUCCAUGCCAUGAUGGUAUACUGAUAUAAGUUGCAAUGACAUUUGAAUGUAGCUUGCAGGGGUGUUAAAAUUGGAGAUUUUUGGCUAAAACAGGGGAAAGUUAAAAAUUCGCACAAGGGGGGUGUUAUGCGAAAAUUUCGCACUAGGGGGGGUGUUAUGCGAAUUUCGCAUAACACCUUGUGGAAUGCGAAAUUUUCGCAUAAGCACUAUUCACCCGCCCAAAUGCAAAAUUGGAUUCUUUCAAAUGGUGAUAACUUCUUCGUUUCAAAUCCAAAUCGCACACCGUUUGAAGCACUGGACUUCUAACUUCCUAAGCUUCAAAAAGAGAUAUGGUAAGCAUAAUUUGAGCUCCAGAAAGUGCUCCAAAAACGUGUCCAACAGUAGCAAAAUGGGGUGCGGCUGCAACAUUCCCGUUUAGCUUUGCACAGUCAUCUUCAAACGGCCAUAACUUCUUCGUUUCAGCUCCAAAUCAAGCACCGUUUGAACCUAUGAACUCCUGACUUCCCAAGAUUUGAAACGAGAUAUCGUACACAUAAUUUGAGUUUCAGGAAGUGAUCUAAAUGUGCCCAACAGUUGCCGAAAUGGGGUGGUGCGAAUUGCUCUGUUUUGGCUUUUCUCCCCUGUUUUCCCUUGUUUUCACCAUAACUUCGAUUUUUGCAAGCAUCAUACCUGCAUGAACACUUCAAAACUCAUCUUAAAAACAUAUUAAAACUAAAUUAAAGCUAAAAAUUCAAAUUAAAACAUGCAUGAAUUUAAAGAAAGCAUAGAAUUUAAAUGAAGCUGAUAGCAUGUAUCCCAAAAAGAAGAUGAACUAUUUAGCUCAUCCUCACUCACACACCCACUUCAUGCUGAACUCCCCCUGGAUCCCAAACAAAAUUGGCAUCCUUCACAUUUGGCCCAAGGGAAUUCGUUUCUCUUCUCUUCCCUGGAGAAGUGGAUGCUUUAAAGGGUUCAAGUAACCCUUUAUCAUCUUGAACCUUAUGAUUUUCAAUGGAAGGUUGGUCCAUAAAGUUGUCAUAGCAAUCCCCCACCAAAGUGUCAAUCAUCAACACUUUCCUUGAUCUUUUUGCAUUGGUUCCUUGAAGGUUAUGGUGGGGUUGAGGAGGAAGCUUCCUUUUCCCCCUUGCUAUGUCGAGAUUGGUGAGCUUCUCAAUGGAGUCUUGAACUUUUUCUAUCCUUAGUGAUAGAUCAUUAUAAACUCCCUCCAUUCUUACAUUCAUUGAACUCUCCAUAUUAUCAAUCUUUUCAUUAAGAUGAGAGUUGAUCUUUUGUUGCCCACCUACAAAGUCCUCCAUGACUUUGCUUAUCUUCAAAAUGGCUUGCUCCAAUGAAGAUGUACUCAUUGAUGGUUGAGGUUGAGGUUGGGUUGUAAGGUUGGGAUGUUUUAUAUACUCAAAUGAAGUUGGCAUGGCUUGUGGUUGUGCUUCAGUAUGCACAUUCCUCAAUUCAAACUCUUCUAUCCUUCUAGCCAUAGAUGCUAGCUUUGCCUUCAUGCUCAUGUCUUCAUUCAAAGCAUACUUACUACCCCAUUGGCUUUGUUGAACUUGCCUUUUCCCUAACUCAAUCCGAUCCCUCAUGGAUAGGUAUGCAAAUUUGUCCUUCUCAUGAUCAUAAUGAGAGCUUUGAUCUUCAUGUGGAAUUUCCAUUUCUAAAAAAAAAUGAUAUUCAACUAAGGCUCUUUUCUUCAACUUGUACCAGGGUUCCCUCUUGGUCUCGAAUCCAACAAGGAAUGCACAAAUUGAAAUUAAAACAAAAAUAAAAGAAAAGAAAAUAAAAAAUUUAACUAAAUAAAAAUUAAACUAAAAAAAAUUAUAAGAAAACUCACCAAACUUGUGAUGAAGAUCACAAGUUACCCUUAAUGGUUGCUUCACUGUGCUUGUGGCACCUUCCCCGGCAACGGCGCCAUUUGAUUCGACUCAUGGUAGCUUAGCUUUAAAGGCGUAUCAACAAAAUUUAUACCUUAAAUACUAUUACUAAAGUAGCCAAGCUACUAUAGCAUAGUGGUUCUAGGAUCGUUCACUGGGAAGGGUUUUCGCAAACAGUAGUGAUAUUCAAAUUAGGAAAAUAGGUGAUUUUCUUAUGCAUGUUAGCUUUAAAAGAAGAUGUAAAUAUUUCAGAAAGAUUUAAACUAAUCUAAGCUAACAUUAAAGACUAAAAUGAAAGGGUGUAAAAACAAGUUUCUCAAAUAUAGGAUAGCGAUGCUUUGGCUCUUAUGCAAAUUGGAAAUCUCAGGAUAGGCUCCUCGCGUUGGGGUUGCAACUAUGGUGAUGCUUGCUUCCCGAACCGGUAUGGAUUUAGCAAAUCAAGUUUUAAUCCUUUAAAAUGGCAAAACAGAUGGUAGUGAAUUUCAUCAAUGGUUAUUCACCUUAGACUUCCUUUGAAUGGCUCGUAAGAGAUAACUAAUGGUCUAAAGCCAAAAGCUUACCAAAUAUUGGCAACUCAAAGUCAUUCCAAGUGAUAAACUCACCUUUCAAUGGCCAUUGAAAUUGGUUCUAAUGGAUUAAUGCAAAACUUGGAAUUGAAAACCUCACCUUCCAAUAGCUCGUAGGAGAUAACUAAUGGAUAGAAAUCCAAAAGCUUAUCAAGUAUUGGUCGUUGGAAGUUGUCCAAAGGAAAUAAAAACCAAACUUUGCCUUAAUGAACCUUUAAUGAAAAACGUCUACCUUACCUUCCGGGUGAGAGAAAUUUCCAUGGGAUUGCAUCCAAGCCAUCACAUAACAUCCAUACUUUGAGAAACUAAAAGUUUUAGCCAAUCAUCCUCUAAGGAAAAGCCCUUAGAGGCUGUUUGGCUACUAAGAAAAUAGAAACGGGAGAACAAGAGAAGAGAGAAAAACAGAGCAAGGCUCCGUCUCUGUAUAUAUGCGUCUCUGUCUUCAAGAGAUGAUUUCCACCCCUAAUAUAGUCUUUACAAAAGCAAAAGCUUGUGAUUGGUUAGUUACAAGGAUAAGAAAGGAAAUUACAUCACAAAAUACAAAGGAAAAUAUCUAAAGUGGAGUCGGCAAAGGCAGAGCAAAAUUCGCAACACGCAUGGGUUAUGCGAAUGUUAUGCGAAUGUUAUGCGAAUUUCGCAUAACACCUUGUGGAAUGCGAAAUUUUCGCAUAACCUAGAGCAGUUGGCUUCCGAAGGCCAUAUCUUCCUCAUUUCAGCUCCAAAUCGUGCAUGGUUUGAAGCGUUGGAUUCUUGACUUCCAGAGAUUUGAAAUGGUAUAUAGUAUGCAAAAAAUGGACUUCGGGAAGUGCUCCAAAAGUGCGAAAGAAGACUGCAGCUGCUGUCCUCUUUGCUUCUCUUCACUUUGCUUGCUUUUCCUCUUUGCUUCUCUUUGCUUGUGCUCGUGUUUCCACUUGAAAUUCAAGCUUGUAAAUGUCCAAAAUCCUUGCUUUAACUUGUCCAAGUAGCUCCUCCAUCAUUUGGCAUGCUUGAAUCGAUUCAUAAGCUGAUAAAAACAUGUAAACUUGCCACAAAAUGGUUAAAACCAAUUACUAAGAACCUUAAUGAAUUAAUUGGGUUAAAUGAAUAUGAUUACUACUCAAAGGUGCUUAAAACCAUUAUAAUUAGGUCUACAAAAUAGCACUUUUUGGUAGUAAUCACAUAUAACUGAGUUGAGGAAUAAACAGAAGAAGAUUGAUGGUUUGAAGUCGCUCAUGGUCGAAUGUUUAGAAGAUAAAGAUAUGCUUAACAUGGCAGCUGAGGAAUUGGGUCAGGCCAUAGAGGAAGAGAAAAGGCUACAGAAUCUGCUACUAAAAUCAUUACUUCCCAAGGAUGAAGUUGAUGAAAGGGACUAGCAAUGGUGGUGAAAACCAGCUCGUGUCGACGUCGCUAUACGUCGGUGGCCUAGAAUCAAACGUCACCGACUCGCAUCUCUUUGAUUUGUUUGGUCAACUGGGUCCGGUGGUUUCCGUUCAGAUUUGCUGCGACUUGAGCACUCGAAGAUCACUCAAUUAUGGUUGUGUUAAUCAUGGCAAUCCCCAAGACACCGUAAGGGCAUUGGAUGUGUUGAAUUUCACUCAUCUCAAUGGAAAGCCAACUAGGAUUAUGUAUUCCCAUUGUGACCCUAGUGUCCGCAAAAGUGGAACUAGGAAUAUAUUUAUUAAGAAUUUGGAUAAAAGGGUUGACCACAAAGCAUUGCGUGACACUUUUUCCACAUUCGGUAACAUCUUCUCAUGUAAGGUAGCCGCUGAUGCAUCUGGAUCAUAUAGUGGGCUGUGAGGAGAUUCUUUUUUGUUUUUUUUAGAAAGAAAAGUCAACAUGGUAAGGAUCUGAUCACUUACCAAAUAUGACAAGGCGGCAUCUUGAGGGAAUCUCCAAGUGAGUCACCAUGUAUGUACUUUCCAUAUAUCGAUGCGCAUUAAAAAGGAAAUGGAGAAUUCCAUAAAAAUGGUGGGUUGCCAUAUAAAUAGGAACAUAGGAACGGGCAGAGGGAUUUUUUUUUUUUUUUUUAGGAGAGGAUCCAAGCAUAAAGCAGAAUUUUUCAGAGGGGAAUAAGCGGAAAGAAUUUUCACGCGGAACUUUGGAGGAGAGCAAGGGACUUCAGGCAGAAACCAGGCUAUCAGCUUAGUCACCAAGAGAGGAUUUUCUCUUUCACUUCACAUGUUAGUUUUCCAUAUAAUAUUUUUAUUUAGUCUAGAUUUUUUUUAACAAAUAUCAAUUUUUGAUUAAUUCUUUGUGUUAAAGUUUAUUUUGUUUUUAAAUUCUCAAUUAGUUUAGUUCUAAUCCACCUUUUAAUUUUAUUUUCUGAUUUAAUUUGAAUGUGUUAGUGACUUUUAUUCCUUAGUUUAAGUCAUUUGUGAAGUAAACUUUAUUUUUUAAAAUUCCGGAUUAACUUAAUUUAAGUUUAUGAUUUAAUUUGAAUGUGUUAGUGACUUUUAUUCCUUAGUUUAAGUAAUUUGUGAAGUAAAGUUUUUUUUUUUUAAAUCCCGGAUUAACUUAAUUUUAGUUUAUGAUUUAAUUUGAAUGUGUUAGUGACUUUUAUUCCUUAAUUUAAGUAAUUUGUGAAGUAAAGUUUAUUUUUUAAAAUUCCGGAUUAACUUAAUUUUAGUUUAUGAUUUAAUUUGAAUGUGUUAGUGACUUUAAUUCCUUAGUUUAAGUAAUUUGUGAAGUAAAGUUUAUUUUUUUAAUUCCGGAUUAACUUGAUUUUAGUUUAUGAUUUAAUUUGAAUGUGUUAGUGACUUUUAUUUCUUAAUUUAAGUAAUUUGUGAAGUAAAGUUUUUUUUAAAAAAAAUUCCGGAUUAACUUGAUUUUAGUUUAUGAUUUAAUUUGAAUGUGUUAGUGACUUUUAUUCCUUAGUUUAAAUAAUUUGUGAAGUAAAGUUUAUUUUUUUAAAUUCCGGAUUAACUUAAUUUUACUUUAUGAUUUAAUUUGAAUGUGUUAGUGACUUUAAUUUAUUAGUUUAAGUAAUCUUGUGAGAUAAAGUUUAUAUUUUUAAUUCCGCAUUAGUUUAGUUUUAGUUUAUGUUUUAGUUUGAAUGUAUUAGUAAUUUUAAUCCAUUAGUUAAAUAAUUUCAUUAGAUAAAGUUUAUGUUUUUAAAGGAGUUUUGAUUUUGUUUUAUCCCAUCUUUUUAGUUGAUGUAUUUUUAUAAUCUUAGUUUAGUUUAUUAGAUUAAUUAAUUUUAUUGAUAAAAUUUAUACUUCUAAUCUUGUUUUAGUUUAAUUGCAAUUUAUUGUUUGGUUUGUAUUUUCUUUUUAUAUAAUCUUAGUUCAUUAAUUUAAUCAAUUCUAUUGAUAAAGUUCAUGUUUUUAACCUUGUUUCAGUUUUGUUUUAAUUUAUAUAUUUAGUUUAGGUUUCUUUUUUAGAAUUUUAGUUUAUCAAUUUGGUUGAUCCAUGUAAUUAAUCUCAUGUCUUUUUAAAUUGUUUAUCCUUGUUUUGAUUCAUGUUAUCUAGUUUAAGUGGUUUUAGAAUUCUAGUUUAUUAGUUUAAUUGACCCUAUGCGAUUGAAUUUAUGUUUUUAAAUAUUAAUCUUAUUUUUUAUUCAUCUUUUUAGUACAUGAGUUGUUUAAGUUGAUUGGUUCCAUGUCAUUUUCAUGUUCUUAAACUUGUUAAUUUUAUUUCUUGGUUGAUCCACUUUUAGUUUGUAUGUUUUUUAAAUCUUUAGAUAACUUGUUUAAUUGAUCUUAAGUUGUAUUCUUUCUAUCUUAAAUAUAUAAAUUUUCAUUCUUGGAUUGAUCAUAAUUUAGUUCAUAUGUUUCUCUAAAAUUUUAGUUAAUUAGCUUAAUUGAUCUUAUGUUAGUUUUUUAUUAUUCUUCUGUGUUCAAUUCCCCAUUUUUAAUUCUUGAUUAAUAUCUUCUAAUUUUAUUUGAUCUAAAAUCAUUUAAUUUAUUGCUUUGAUAGUUUUCUUUGUUUUUUUUUUUGUGAAGUUUAAUUUUUAGAGGUCAUUUGAAAAUCAUGAAGAUUGGCUUCUACCCUCACCUUUAUUAGUCUUGUUGAUUACUGAGAAAAUUUUACUUUGUGAUUUUGUUUUAUUUUGGGUUGCCUAUAUUUGAUCUUUGCGAAUUGUUUUUUUGUGAAUAAUGUCUUUCUCUUUAAAAUAAAAUACUUUUCUCAAAAUGUUCCUUAUAAAAAUCCAUUUUAAAAAUUCAUUUAGAGUCCUUAGAAUCAAAAAUCUCAUUUUCUUAAAAUAAUAUGCAACCAAUUUUUUUUAUCAGUUUGCAUCUUUCUUGGUUUUUUUAAUGAAAAUUUUGGUUUUAAAUCAAACACAAAUCCAAGCUUUUGGUCCCUAUAUGUGGUUCAUUAUUCAUGGUGGCCUAGUUAUAGAUAUGUAUAUUAAACUUCAUUCCUUUAACUUUUAAAAGCUGACAUCACAUAUAAUACCCUCAUUAACAAGGACAUUCCCCCCUCAAGAUGGAACAUAUAAAUUUUCAUUGCUUAGCUUGGAAUUGAAAGCCGAAAAUAGGUUUUUGCACAGAGAUGAAGCAAUAUCACUUCCCCUGUGGUUUUGUUGGUUUUUAACCUUCUUAGUUGGUGGUGAGGUUAUUGUUAUUACCUUUAUUGGAUCUUGGUAUCAUUUCUGGAAAUGGAACAGUUACUAUAGUUGAAUUUCUGAAUAAGUUGAAUUUUAACUUUUAUACUCAGACUUUCAAUGAAUUUUUAUCAGAGAGUUGAAACCCGGUGCUAGACCAAUUGCCUGCACGGAACAUGAUGACGUUGUUGUAUGUGCUGCAGAUGAUCGUCUAACAGCAUUUAAAUCUUUUGAAGUUUCUCUAAGAUUUUGGAUUAAGGUAUUAUAUAUCGCUUUGAAUAUUUGUGAUGUAAGAGCUACACAUCUUUUAGAGGUUGUUUUGGUCUCAGCUUUUGCUAUUUUGUUUAGGUAAAAUGAAACUAAUGGUCAGAAGUACUUUCUGAUGAAGAGUAAAAAGUAGUUAUGAUGCAAGAAGUGUGAGCUCCUCGUACCAUCACCCCGGUUGAGACCUUGUGGUUUUCCAUGAAAUUUCCCACAUUUUUCUUUGGUGUGAUAUGUUUUCUUGCUGUACGAGCACUUCUUCAUCAACUCCUGUCUUCCUUGCUCCAUGUUAACAUUAUGAUUUGUACCAUUUGGUUUGGCUCCUCCACUUGGUUUCUUUACAAUCAUGGUUUAUCCAUCCACUAGUGGUGUACCAAGCAUCACCUAUAGACCCCAAAGUUUGUUCCAAUUUUAUUUUUACAUUAAUUUUUGAGCCCACAACAUUUUAUCAUCCUUUAAAGGAUCAGCACACAUGGCAGAGAAGAGGUGACCUUGUACUGGCUGUCCAAAAGGUGACAUGAGGGACCCAUUUGAAAUCUGCUAUCAUGAACACCCUACACCCUCUUUUUUCUUAUUUAAGAAAAAGAAAAACACUGAAAUAGAAGUAGGAGCGUGCGUGUGAGUGUCAGCUCACAUGGUAGAAAAGAUGUGGCCCUUUUACUGUUUCUCCAUUUAACUUAAAGGUUACACUGAACAAAAAUAAGAAGUUUAGGAUAUCAAACACUAGCUGCCCAUUUGGAAAAAAAUGACUGUUUCAAGUCCAUUUGGCAGCCAUUGCGGGACUAAAACAAAAAAAUUACCUUACCCAAUAAAAUGGUAAUUUAUUUCAAUUUGGACCAUAAUUCUCAUUCCUACUAUAUAUUUAUUUAUAUUUGGAAUCAUCAGUUGUAGCAGCCUUGCUUCAUCUACAACCUAAACAUGGUGAUGGUGUUACAAUGCAAAAUUCACCAAUCCUUCUUCAAACUUUUUUGAGUUUUCCCUUGACAAUGCUGUGAUGAAAAGUCCAAGAAAGCCCAAUGAAAAGGAACAGAAAUGCUCACCCUUCUCUCAACUCUCAACUGCUGGUCCCCACCCAAAAUCUAUGCCCAUACUUUCCAAGCAAUAUCCUUAAUUAGUCUGGUAGGCGAAGAAGACUGGGCUCCAAAAGGAUGCUGUGAGAUAUCUGGAAGAUCACCCAUGACAUUUUCAACGUACUGUGCGGUUGAAGGCCGAAAGAUAAACACAAAGCAAGAAAGCAUGGACAUGAGAAACUUGGAAUAGGAGAAAUGGAAAGCAGCAUGUGCCUUAGCAGUGCAAUUUUGUCUCUGUGUUUGUCAUGUAUGUGGUUGGGAGUAGUGCCUUCCAUUUCUAGUGCACAGACAGACACCAUCAAACCUGGGGAAGAGCUUCAAUUCUCGGAAAAAUUACUGGUUUCUGCAAAAGGGACUUUUACUCUAGGCUUCUUCAGCCUGGAAUCUGGCAGUUAUUUAGGAAUAUGGUACACAACUGAUGAUUAUCACAAGAAAGUUUGGGUUGCUAACAGAGACAAGGCUAUAUCCGGCACCGAUGCAAAUCUCACGCUGGAUGCCGAUGGCAAAUUGAUGAUCACGCAUAGUGGGGGUGAUCCAAUUGUCCUGAAUUCCAAUCAAGCAGCCAGAAACUCAACAGCUACUCUGCUUGAUUCUGGAAAUUUUGUUUUGGAAGAGUUCAAUUCGGAUGGAUCUCUGAAGGAGAAACUAUGGGCGAGUUUCGAUAAUCCUACAGACACCCUCCUGCCUGGGAUGAAACUAGGCAUCAACUUGAAAACCGGGCGAAACUGGUCACUUGCUUCAUGGAUAAGCGAACAAGUGCCUGCUCCUGGGACUUUUACUCUGGAAUGGAAUGGCACACAAUUGGUGAUGAAACGCCGAGGGGGCACCUACUGGAGCAGUGGAACCUUGAAAGAUAGGAGCUUUGAGUUCAUUCCUUGGUUGAUGAGCUCUGACACUUUCAAUAACAUCUACAGUUUUAACAGUGUUUCGAAUGCAAACGAGAUUUACUUUAGCUAUUCAGUUCCAGAAGGAGUUGUUUCAGACUGGGUAUUGACCUCGGAAGGGGGACUUUUUGACACUAGUAGACCCGUAUUUGUGCUGGACGAUCAGUGCGCUAGGUAUGAAGAAUAUCCAGGGUGUGCAGUGCAAAACCCACCCACUUGCAGGUCUAGAAAAGACGGAUUCAUGAAGCAAUCGGUUCUCAUAUCAGGAUCACCAUCAUCAAUAAAAGAAAAAUCGAGCUUGGGCCUUAGGGAUUGUAAGGCUUUAUGCUGGAAUGAUUGUUCUUGUACUGCUUAUAAUAGUUUAUACACUAACGGAACUGGAUGUCGGUUUUGGAGUACAAAAUUUGCACAAGCCCUCAAGGAUGACGCAAAUCAGGAGGAGCUCUAUGUUUUAUCCUCAUCACGAGUUACGGGUAAGAGUCUCUCUAUAUUUUUGCAUUCCUGAAAGUAACCAAAGCAAAGUAGUUGAUGAAUCCAACAUUUUUAUUGAAUUUACAACCCUAAUAGGUGAUCAAAAAUUCAAAAUACCAUUAGAGGAGCUAUAUCAUGACCAUAAAAGACCCUCCUUCACUCAGUUCUGCUCUAACCACAAAAUUUAUCAACUUCUAUCUAUGCAGGGAGCAGUUGGUGGAUAUGGGUCAUUAUUGCAGGAGUGGUACUUGUGGUCUUGUUGGUACUUGUGGUCUUGUUACUUACGGGCUCCUUAUACUAUUCAAGGAGAAAAUUCAGAGGUAGUAUUUUAUUUGAACUUUUGUUGAUGAUAGUAAUGCCAUUUGUUAAUGGGUUGGAUUGAACUUGUGACUUGUGGUAUAACAGGGGAGAGAGAAAUGGAGGAAGCUGCGCUGCUUGAAUUGACAACUUCAAACAGCUUUAGUGAUUCAAAAGAUGUUGAACAUGAUGGAAAGAGGGGGGCUCAUGAUCUUAAACUGUUCAGUUUUGAUUCUAUUGUGGCUGCCACGAAUAACUUUUCAUCUGAAAAUAAACUUGGAGAGGGUGGUUUUGGCCAGGUUUAUAAAGUAAAUAUUAUUAUUUCAUUAAUCCAUGGCAUGUAAUAGGAAUAGGACAUUCUUUGUUUUAAGUACCCCAAUUAAAGCUUCCUUUUGGAUUGUGGAUUGUGGAUUGUGGAUUAUUUUUGCAGGGGAAAUUACCUGAGGGGCAAGAAAUAGCAGUGAAGAGACUUUCAAGGGGCUCCAGCCAAGGAUUGGUGGAGUUUAAAAAUGAGAUUAGACUGAUCGUCAAACUCCAACACAUGAAUCUUGUUAGACUUCUGGGUUGCUGCAUCAAGGGAGAAGAAAAGAUGUUAAUCUAUGAGUUCAUGCCCAACAAAAGCUUGGACUUCUUCCUCUUUGGUUUGAAUACUUCCCUUUUUUUCUUCCUUUUAUCUGCAUGACUUUUCCUUAUGUUCUUAUCUUUUUUUUUUUGCUUGAAACAAUUUACUAGCUGUGUGUUGUGUUCACCCAAAUUUUCAGAUCCUGCUAGAAGAAAGAUAUUGGACUGGAAAAGACGUCACAAUAUCAUUGAGGGGAUUGCACAAGGACUUCUUUACUUGCAUAAAUAUUCAAGACUAAGAAUUAUUCAUAGAGAUCUAAAAGCAAGUAACAUCCUACUUGAUCAUGACUUGAACCCGAAAAUUUCUGAUUUUGGCAUGGCCAGAACUUUUGGGCGAAAUGCAUCGGAAGCAAAUACAAAUAGGAUAGUUGGAACAUAGUAAGCAUGACUUUUCUUUAUCUAUCAACUUUCUUUUUCAGUCUAAUGUACUAAACCUUCUACUAUGGAUGCAGUGGUUACAUGCCACCCGAGUAUGCCAUGGAAGGAAUUUUCUCGGUGAAAUCAGAUGUUUAUAGCUUUGGGGUCCUACUGUUGGAGAUUGUGAGCGGCCGAAAGAACAAAAGCUUUCAUCAUAACCACGGUGCCUUUGCCAUAAACCUGGCAGUAUACGUGAGUAUGCUAUAUCUCAUAUUUGUCUCUACAUUAUUUUCAACAGCACCCGGUGUAUCCUUCCAAAAUUUUCAUACUAACCUCAUAAGUAAAUCAACCCUAAAUGAACUGGAAACAGGCUUGGGAUCUAUGGAAAGAAGGUACUAGCUUGGAGCUAGUGGAUCCAAUGCUGGAGGAUUCCUACUCAACAACCCAAAUGUUGAGAUGCAUUCAUAUUGCUCUCUUGUGCGUACAGGAGAGCGCAGCAGAUAGGCCUACAAUGUCAGCUGUUAUCUCCAUGCUCACCAACGAAACUGUGCCCCUACCAAACCCAAAUCUACCCGCAUUUUCCACUCAUCAUAAAGUGUCAGAGCUAGAUUCACACAAAGGCAGGCCAGAGAGUUGUUCUGGAUAUGUAACUAUUUCAGAGACGGAAGGUCGGUAAAGAAGAGAAUUUCAAGGGGUGACAGGAAACCUAGAGACCAGAAGUUGUUGUCCUAACCUAUCAGCAAUUUGUCUAGAUUGAUUUGUAUUGCCACCAUAGAUUUAUUAGAUAUAGAGUCAACUAGGUUUCCCUCAAGGUAAUCUUUUUCAAAGCACAACAGAAGCUGAUUUGGUAUCAUUUGAAACAUAGUUUGAACCUAUAGCCUGCAGCUCUAUUUGCCUUUUUUUCUAGGAAAUUUAUCUAACCAUACACUAAAUACCAAAAUUUUGCCUUUUAGAAACUUUGUUUUUUACUUUUGAAAUUUAGUGGAUUUUGGGGAAAAUAAAUGUUUUUCCAUACACUGUAAUAAUAAUGUUGAGACCCUUCCAAAAAUGCCCACUUUGACAGCUCUCCUAGUUGGAUCACCCACUUGGAAAAGUCACGUAAGCAAGGUCCAAGUCAGCCACCUACUAAAGCUGAUGACAAGGCUCAUGUACAUGUCAUCAUCAAACUAGACACUUCACAUGAAUUGAUUUUUUAAAACAUAUUUACCCCCAAAUGUCUUCUUCUCUCUUCAACCAAACCCUAACACCAAAAACCCAUGUUCUUUCUUCUUCGGUCACAAGCACAACCCAUCACAAGGCGGAAUGAUCCAUAAAAAAUCCGGUAGCUUCUCAAUUUGUCAUAACCCAUCAACCCCAAACGAACCUCCAAACAUGAUCCCUUAUUUUAUUUCUCCUCCAUCACCAUAAGAAAGACGACAUCAUCAUUUUCCCACCAAACAUCAAUUCGAAAACAAAAGUCCAAGUGUGAAACCCCUAACAAAGCCUAGGUAGACAAAUAACCUCUUUCCUUCUUCUCAUUUCAACAUCGACAAAGUCAUUUCUUCCCUGCCUAUACUUCCUCUUUUGCUUUUACGUUGAAAAAGAGAAAGAAAGCAAUUGAGAGAAAGAGGGAACAAAGCAAUGAAAUAUUGUAGUUGCAUUUAACUUAUAAAGUAAGGGUUUUUCCAGAUAAUAUAUGUAUUUUAUUAAAUUUUAUAAUAACUAUUUAUUUUGAUUUGUCAUUUUGAUUCUUUGAGAUUUGAAUAUUGUUAUAGUUAUGUGAUUUUUGGAAUGUUGUGAUUUAAACUUGAUUACAUUGCAUAUUUGUACAUGUUGAAUGUUCAUUAAUAUUAUUCAAUUUUAUAUUUUAAUUUAUUUAGGGUUUAUUUGAAAUGAAAUAUGGUUUAAAAUUUGAUAAAUGAUAAGAAAAUGAAAUGGUGGUAAACUAUAUUGAUUUUGUUUUAUUUUCUGAAUUGUUGUGUUUGUGUUGUAUAUGGUUGUUGGGAAGAAUAUAGAAAAGAGAAGAAAAAUAUGACUAUUGAAUGAGAAGGGAAUACAAUUUUUAUAUGGGAUUCAAGAUGUUUUGUUGUUUAAUGUUGUUUAUAUGGGAUUCUAAAAUGAGUAGGUUGAGUUUUUUUAUAUAGUUGUUAAUUGGUGAAUUUAAUGCAUAGGAAAAGAAUUCAUGUUUAGUCAUGAGUAGAUGAGUACGAAUUUUAAAAAUGAUUGGGAGUAAAGUUUGAAUAAAUUUCUUCAUAAAAGUUUUGAAUUUGUAAUGAAUGAGGGUUGAAUUGAAAAAGAAAAUAAAACAAAUGUAGUAAAGCAGACAUGAAUUUAUGUUGGAAUUAGGGAAAAUAGUAGUGGAGCCUUAGGUGGAAAUCUGAUGCUCACAACCACAAAUAUGAAAUUUGUUUUGUUUAUAUGUGUGUAAUGGUCAUAAUAGGGGUCUACCCUUGGAUGAAGGUGUUGAUCGUAAUUCAGGUAAUGACAUUUGGAUGAAAUAAUUGUUUUUGUAAGAGGUUGCAGUAAGUAAUUAGAGGUUAACCCAUUUGUUUGGAGGUAGGCCCUUAGUUGUAAACAUUGUUGUGGUCUAAUCUAGGGAGUAGACAAAAUAAAGAAAGACCUAUUGUUUCAGGGGUUGGCCCGAAGACAGGGCCAUUAGCACAAUUUAGCUUGAAAAGUUACAAAAACAAUGGUUGGGCCAUGAAUUGAGAGGUUCACUUCCCAACUUAUAUAACAUAACAAAUUACUACCAAAUAAAAUAGAAUAAUUGCAUUGUUUAAUGUUAAGUAUACUCUAUGCAAGUCCAUAUUUACAACAUUAAUUGAAGACCAUGAAAUGUAAAUGAAGCUCACUUGUAAAGUUCCAAAGAUAAAUGAUGUAUGAAUAUAUGAUGGUCAUAAGCAUGAUAAUCAGUUUUGUUAUAAGUAAUUUGGUUUAGGCAGUGUUAUUAAAAAAUUAGUUAAUUGUUUCAACUUGACUAAAGGUUCAUGUUUCUAAACAGGGGCUACACAUGAUCGAGUAUCAUUUAAAUGGAUCCAAGUAAUACAAUUUACUAUUAUCUGUAGAUUGGAAGAGAGCUAGUAAGGGGUGAACAUGGCAGUGUGGAAUAUAUGGGUGGGAGACGAGAGAGUAUAAUGUUAGAACGAUCAAUGACAUAUAAUGAUUCAAGGAUUUGUGGGAAAAUGAGCAUCGAUAUAGUGGGACCAACAUUUUCGUACACUCUCCCAUUUGAUCUAUAUGCACUUCAACCAUUGAAAAAUGAUGAAGACUUGACAAACAUGUUUCAGUUUAGUGACCAAUCCACACGUGUAUAUAUGUUUAGCAUCAACAGUUGAAGGUGAUGAAACAGUUGAGAAUGGAGGACAAAGGUAAGUUAUAUCAAAAGAAUAUCUAAUCUUAAAUGAUUUCGUGUAUUUAUUUAUUUAUUAAUAUUUAUGCUUAUUCAUUAGAUGAUAAGUUGAUAAAUAAACAUAUUUAUAAUGCAGAUUGAACGAAACAAUGGUAGGGUCAAACUCACUGGUCCCAUAUUCAAUAAGGGAUGUUGAUAUUAAUUAGAAUGCAAUCACGAGGGUUUCAUCAAAGAUGUGUUGAAUCACAUGUGGGUACACUAGAGUCGAGUCAUUUUGAGAGUGCAAUAUUGGGUAGUGGGCAUACCUUCUCAAUUGCAAAUGACUUUUGAGAUGCAAUAUAUCUCAUGUCAAUAGGAAACCAUUUUAGAUAUAAGUUUAGGAGGAAUUGUCUUAAGCAUAUGACUGUAAUAUGUGUUGUUGAAGGAUGCCCUUGGAAAGUAACUACUCGUGUUGUUGGGAGAACAAAAAUAGUUCAGGUGCAUACAUUUAUAAGUGAACAUAACCACUCUUUAGAAGAUGUGUCAGUUUUUGAACCAAUAGUUCGUUGUAAUCGAGACACAACUAUGAUUGAUGAUGUUAUUCAUUCAAAUCCAAAUUACUUGUCUCAUCAAAUAUGUAAAGACUUUCAUCGACAAUACAGAAUGCAAUUGAAUUAUUGUCAAGCAUGGAACUUGAAAGAGAAGGCUAAAGAACGAAUCAAUGGCGUGCCCCAAUGCUCAUAUAAGUUGUUGCCUUGAUUGUGUACAAGGCUUAUUGAAACAAAUCCAGGGACGAUUUUUUAAUAUAGAUGUUCGGGUGAUGGUCAUUUCAUCCAAUUGUUUGUUGCCCUUUCAAUGUCAAUACAUGGGUUUAAAACAGGGUGUCGGCCUAUUAUAUCAACAGAUUCAUCCCACAUGAGUGAGCCAUACAAGGGUGCUUUAUUUUUAGCUUCUUUGUAUGAUGCUAAUAAUGUCAUGUUUCCACUUGCUUAUUGCUUAUUUAGCUCCAAGAAUUACAAGGAUUGGCUUUGGUUCUUAGAAAAAUUGAAGAUGGUCAUAGGUAAAAGAGAGGUUAUAAUAAUAUCUAAUAGGGACCAAGGAAUUAUCAGUAGUGUUUCAGAGGUAUUCGACAAUGAAAAUCUUGCACAUUGCUAUCAUCACAUUAAAGAAAACUUAAGUAGCUUACUAACAAAGUUGAACAUUAAAUGGAGGAAAAUAAAGGAAAAUGUUUUGCAAAUGCUCGAUUCUAUCGCCUAUGCUAGGUUAGAUUGUGAUUAUUAGGUUACAAUGGAUACUUUAAGGACAUUUAAUCAUGAUUCGGCAAAGUGGGUUGAAAAAAAUAACCCUCAACAUUGGGCAAUCUCUAAAUUUAAGAAGAUGCAUUGGGAUAAGAUGACAAACAAUCUAGCUGAGUCUUUCAAUUCUUAGUUAAGACAUGAAUGACACCAUAACAUUUGUGUUUUCUUCAUUGAGCAUAUGGAUAAGUUAGGAUCUCUUUUAGUCAAGCACAAAAAUGGACUUGUAAAAUGGAAUGGGUACAUUAGUCCUAAAACAUAAGAAAAUAUUGCAUUGAACAUUGCAAAAGGUGAAAAUUAUAUCACUUAUUUACACUUGGGUAGUUCGAUGAAAGUAUCCAAUGGAAAAGCAUUCUUAGAAGUGGACUUAAUGGAGCGAACUUUCACAUACAAAGCAUGGCAAAUGUCUGGAAUUCCAUGUGAUCACACCUGUGCAGCUAUACGGCGAAUGGGUUUGAUGUAUCUGAUUAUGUUGAUGACUAGUAUAGGUACAAUUUGCAAGAUAAUAUAUACUUUGGAAGCAUGCGUACUUUAGUAAUGCAUAAGAUGCCAAUGAUUGAUGAAGAUGGAACCGUUCGUGAUGCCUUGGGUCAUACUUAUCCCUUUCUUAAUCUUCAAACCACAAAGCAACCUCCUAGAAAACCUAAGAAACAUCAAAUCGAGUCUCAAUUCAUGUAAAAAGAAAAAAAAAACGGUUCAUUGUUCUCGUUGUAAUGAGCUUGGGCAUAAUCGUGCGACAUGCACCAACCCAUUGUCAUAACUAUUUAAUUAAACUUCAUAAUGUAACAUCGACUUUAUAUUAGUGUGUAAUAAUUUGGUAAUCUUCGUUGUUGUUUCUCAUAUUAUAAGCAAUGACUAAUUUAUUGGAUUUGUAGUGUUCGGUGUACACAUAUUGUGAUUGUAUGUUGUUCUUCAAUAUUAUGGGAUCUGUUACAUGAUAAUAUAAUUGUAAUAACAAAAUGUGUACCUUGGUGAUGAUUGUUCGAAGAUGCCAUUAAAGUCACAUAGAUUCACAUGGUGUUCUUGGCAAAAAAACAGAUUGUUAACUAGUGGGCAUAAUCGUGGUCAACCUUUUUUCACAUGUAUGGGUUGUCGCUUUUUGGUUGAUGACCCUUAAUCAUAUUAUUUAGUUUUGUGUGAAGUGGUCAGUAGCCAACCCUUAGAUCAUAGGCAGUCCUAUCAUUUUUCUUAUUUAAAAUUGGCUUUGUGUUAUGUGAGGAGUCGGUAAAAAGGAGGUUGACUCAUUGACACCAUGGGAAGGCAUUCGAACGUUUACACUAUACACUUAGAAUUAAUGGACUUUUAUACCAUAACAUUAGUUUGGUAUGUUAUGUGCAGAAGUCAAUCUAGGGGCGCACCCUCCAUUUCAGAGGCAUGCCUAUAUGUGAAUGACAUUAUAUUACCCUACUAUAUGCAGAAGGCAAAGUAGGGGUGCACCCUUUGUUGCAUAGGCAUGGGUAUGAUAACAUUAUUUUGGUAUGUUAUAUGCAGUACACAAACUAGAAGCACACCCUUGAAUUUAGAGGCAUGCCUAUUAGUGAAACCAUUAUAUUGGUAGGCUAUGUGCAGUAGUCAACCUAAUGGCACAACCUUCAUGGAAGACGCAUGAAUGUGGGUGAAAAACUUGAUUUUGUUAAGCUAUGUGCAGUAGGAAAAAGAUAGGAUGACUCUCUAUCGAAGGCAUGCCUUCAAGAUGACUAGAUUUGAGGUGUGGGUUGGACAAUAAGGCAAAUGGAGGCUUGUCGAUAGCUUGAAAGGUUGGCCCUUGACAUUCAUAUGAAAUCAACAACCACUAAAGGAAUAAAUGAACAAAAGUUAUGCAUUAUCAAAUGUUUGGUAGAGACCAUAUGUUCUAAUGUUUAGCACAAUAAUGUCAUACCAUCUAGUGUUAAUGAAGUUUAGUUGUAUUUUUUAAAAUCUAAAUAAGGCAUUAAUAAUAAUGACAAUAGGUGUGAAUGUGACAAUUGUUAUAGUUAAUUAAUUUUGGCAAGGUUAGUUACAAACACUGUUGUAAGCAAUUAAAUACCUAAUGGGGUCCAAAAAGGGGAUUAAAAUAAUUUAUGCUUAUUUUAUAAAUGAUGUAAGUCUUUUUGUAAGGAAUAUACGUAUUAUUGCACAUAUUAACGUACACACACACACACACAUAUAGAUGUAUUAAAGUAAGAGGGCAUGAGGUCUCGGAUUGAUGUUAAAAAAAUGUACAAUACUUUAUUAAAGUUAAUAAAGAACGGAUUGAUCUUAAAGAUAUAUUAAACAUUGUGAUGAUGUUACGAGGGUUUGAAACUCCGUUAAAUGGUGGUGAAUGACUUCCCAUCAGUUCUUAUGGGUUCUCGGUAGCAUGAGGCCUUGAAAUACCAAAUUUUCUUACAAAUGUACCAAAUUUUAUAAAAUAAAAUAAAAAAUGUACCAAAAGUUGUAAAUGAUGUAGCAAAAUUUGUCAAGGAUGUAUCAAGGGUUUAAAAGUUUGUUCAAGAGUAGUGAACAACCUUUCAUUAAUUAACACAGAUCCCUAAAUGAAAUAAUGGACCAUAGGUGAUAAGAUGGGUGUUUCAGUGGCAAUAAGAUUAGAUGUACCAAAUUUUAUAAGGGGUCUCGACAAUAAUAGGAACAGAUGUACCAAAUUUUAUGAAGAAUGUAUCAAAUUUUGUGAAUGAUGUACCAAGGGUUCCAACGUGCGUUCAGAUGUGGGGAUCAACCCCCAAGCACUUUCUUAUGGGUUCUCAAAUGAAAUUAUGGACCCUAGGUGAUAAGAUGGGGGUCCCAUAAGCAAUAGGAUGAGAUAUACCAAAUUUUAUAAAGGAUGUACCAAAUUUUGUGAAGAAUGUACAAAGGGUUCCAAAGUGCACUCAGAGGUGGGGAUCGACCCCUAAUCACAUCCUUAUGGAUUCCCAAAUGAAAUUAUGAACCAUCUAUGUCCAAAUAGGGGUCUUGAAAGCAAUAGGAUUGGAUGUACCAAAUUUUGUAAAGCAUGUACUAGAUUUUGUAAAAGAUGUACCAAGGGUUCCAAAGUGCAUUUCGAGGUGGGGAUCGACCACCAAUCACUUCUUUAUGGGUUCCCAAAUGAAAUUAUGGACCCUAUGUGAUAAGAUGGGGGUCCCGAAAGAAAUAGGAUGAGAUGUACCAAAUUUUACAAAGGAUGCACCAAAUUUUGUAAAAAAAUGUACCAAAUUUUGUGAAGAAUGUACAAAGGGUUUCAAAGUGCAUUCUGAGGAGGGGAUCAACCCCCAAUCAUUUUCUUAUGGGUUCCAAAAUGAAAUUAUGGACCAUAAGUUAUAAGAUGGGGGUCCCGACAACAAUAGGAUCGGAUGUACUAAAUUUUGUGAAGGAUGUACCAAAUUUUCCAAAGCAUGUUUUGAGGUGGGGAUCGGCCACGAAUUACUUCCUUAUGGGUUCCUAAAUGAAAUUAUGGAACCUAGGUGAUAAGAUGGGGGUCUCGAAAGCAAUAGAAUGGGAUGUACCAAAUUUUACAAAAGAUGUACCAAAUUUUAUGAAGGAUGUACCAAAGAUUCCAAGGUGCGUUCUUAGGUGGGGAUUGACCCCCAAUCACUUUCUUAUGGGUUCCAAAAUGAAAUUAUGGACCAUACGUGAUAAGAUGGGGGUCCCAACAACAAUAAGAUUGGAUGUACCUUAGAUUUUUUUAAACGUGUUCCUUAGUAACUUGAUGAAAGUUACGAACAUUUUUUUAACGUUAAUCCAAGACCUCAUGGCCUCUUACUUUAAUCUAUCUAUCCUUAUGAAAAAUUGACAUACAUCUAUUGUUUUACACACACACACAUAUAUUCCUUACAAAAGGACGUACUUCAUUUAUAAAAUAAGCAUAAAUUAUUUUAAUCCCUUAUGUCGACCUCGUUAGGUAUUUAAUUGCUUACAUAAAUAUUUGUAACUAACCCUACCAAAACUAAUUAACCUAUAACAAUAGUCUUAUUCACACCUAUAGCCAUCAGAUAUUAAUGCCUCGUGUAAAUUAUGAACAAUUCAACUCAACUUCAAUAACACUUGAUGCUAUGACAUUAAUGUGCUAAACAUUGGAACAUAUGGUCUCUACCAAACAUCAGAUAAUGCAUUACUUUUAUUUAUGUAUACGGUGGCCACUUAUUUGAUAUGAACAUAUGCGAACAUUUCUAGCUUUGGGCAUGCCUCCAUUUGUCUUACUGCCCAACCCACAUAUCAAAUCUAAUCACUUUAAAGGCAUGUCAUAGACAGAAGAGGCAUGCCUAUCUUUUCUACUACACAUAGCAUAACAAAUUUAAGUUUUCACCCACAUUCAUGCAUCUUGCAUGAAGAGUGCACCCCUGGUUUGACUAUUGCACAUAGUCUACCAAUAUAAUGCCUUCACUAAUAGGCAUACCUCUUAAAUAAAUGGUGCACCCCUAGUUUGCAUGUUGUAUAUAGCAUACUAAAAUAAUGUUAUCAUACCCAUGGCAUGCCUUUGCAACAAAGGGUGUGCCCCUAGUUUGCCUUCUGCAUAUAGCAUACCAGUAUAAUGCCUUCGCACAUAGGCAUGCCUCUGAAAUGAAGGGUGUGCCCUUAUAUUGACUUCUAAAUAUACCAUACUAAACUAAUGUUAUUAUUAUUUUUAAAACAAAUUCCAUUGCUUCUAAGGGUACAAUGUCCACGUUCGAACGCCUUCCUAUUAAACAAUGGGUCAACCUUCCUUUUACCAACUGCCCACAUAACACAAAACCAAUUUUAAAUAAGAAAAACAAUGAGACUACUUAUGAACUAAAGGGUCGGCCCUUAAUUUUGCUAUUGACCACUUCAAACAAAACUAAUAAUAUGAUCAAGGGUUAUCAACCAAAAAAUGGAAACCCCUGCAUGUAUAGGUCAACCACUAUUAUGCCCACUGGUUAACAAUCUGUUUUUUUUUUUUUUUUUUUUUAUGAGAAACUCUUAGGUGAAGUUUUUUGCUUGAUUCCAACUAUUGUGCUAGUGCAUUUGCUUUAUAAAGAUCCUAAGUGUAGCAACCAGUGCUUUGUUGGUCACUUAUUUUAAGCUUUUCAAUUAGCUUACUCUUUUCCUUGAUAGUAGCCUUAUCGGUUUCAUGGACAUAGUUUGCCUCCACCUUUGCAGCUCAUUUACUUAAAAGCAUCCUAACAAUGAAACUCUUGUUGAAUCCUUCAACAUCAAUGGUUGUGAUAAUGGGCACUUGUAUAGAAAGGAAUCCAUUGUUUUGGAAGAAGGUGUGAGUUGCAUGAGUAAGUGCAUUCACAUAAUGAAUGCCACCUACAAGUUUUAAAGUAAAAAUUAAAACAAAAUGACCUAAUUAAUUUGUAGUCAAUGCAUUUAUCAUGGAUUUAGAUAAGAAGCUGCAUGGAACAAGAAGAUUAAUUACAGUCGUUGCUUAUGGCUAUGUCAUUGGCAGUUGAGAAGGUAUGCCCACUACCCAAUAUUGCACUCUCAAAAUGACUCGACUCUAGUGGACCAACAUAUGAUUCAACACAUCUUUGAUAAAAUUCUUGUGAUUGCAAUCUAAUAUCAUCAUCCUUUGUUAAAUAUGAGACUAUUGAGUUAGACCCAACAAUUGUUUCGUUCAAUUUGCAUUAUAAAUAUGUUUAUUUAUCAACUUAUCAUAUAAUGAAUGAACUUUUUUUUCCUCAAUGAUUUUCAAUUCUAAAGAGCUUCCAUUUUUAUUAUAUAAAAAAAAUUACUAAUUUAAAAUUUUUCUAAAAAUGAUCCAUUUCCAUAUUGAAAACAGUUUUUCGAUCAGGUUUCCCAAUCCCCUAACCAAACAUUUUUUCAGUGUCAUUUCCAUUUAUUUUCUUAAACAACCCUUUGCCAAACAGCCCUAUAAUUUUGGGUCCUAUAAGCCCAAAGCCCUACAAAUCAAAACCCACCAAGGUCACACUCUCCAAUACAAUUCCUCUUUUCACCAAGUGAAAAAUCAACCCAAUUCAAUACCCACCAUCUAGAUCAACCCAAUUAACACUUCAAAAACAUUAAAAAAAUCAAGCUAAACCCAAAAAACAAAACCCAAAAAAAUGCUCAUUAAUCACACCACAACCCAAACGAUCAAAUAAAACCCUCAUCAAAUCCUACACUAACUUUGCACCAAGAAAACAAAACCACACGAAACACAAAACCCUAGUACAAGAUCAACUAAUCCAAUCAAAUUCACAUCCAACAGUUCACAAACAUGGCCAAAAACUGAAAUUCACAAGCCAAAUAAUUGCGAGUCGAACCUGAAAAUCAAGAAUUGUACUUGUAACUUGACUUGUCUAAAAAUCCCAACUCCGAAGCCACCCAAGGUGCGCGGGAUAAGCAAAAUGGGUUCACAAGAUUACGGAGGUAGACCCCCUUUAGAUUGUUUAGGGUUUUGAUGGAUUGUGGCUAUGAACAAAGGAGAAAGAGUAUGGGUUUUUGGAGUUAGGGUUUGGUUUAAAAGAAAAGAAGGCAUUUGGGGGUAAAUCUCACUAUCCAUUUUGUUAUUUUUUGGCAAAUAUUUUAAAAAAAAAUCAUUCCACGUGGAUUUCUAGUUGGAUGGUGGCAUAGACAUGAGUCAUAUCAUUAGCUUAAGUGGGCAACUGACUUGGACCGUGCUCACAUGUCUUUUCCAAAUAGUUGAUCUAAUUGGAAGAGGUGUUAAAGUGUAGGAAGACAUUCUUGGAAGGAUCUCAGCAUCAUUAUUACAGCGCAUGGAAAAGUAUUUAUUUUCCCCAAAACCCACUAACCUUCAAAAGUAAAAAGUAAAAUUCUCAAAAAGCAAAUUUUUGCCCCUUGAUGUAUGGUUACAUAAAUUUCCUUUUAUUUCCUCCAUAACAUAUUAUAAUAGAUUGUACAUGUUUAUCUUAGCCAUGGUAGGCCAUUUAUGUUCAAUUAUUCAUUCUCAUUAUUUGGAAGGCAUAGGAUGGACUAUGCCAUAUGUUGGCAUCAAACAGAUGAUCAAAAAUAUGUUAUAUGCCAUACGUAGAGAAAAACACUCCAGACGACCAAAGUAGAAAGUGGAGAUAGUUUAUGACUGAUCCUCGCUCAAUUUGCACAUAACACCACCAGUUAACCAAACUUCAUCCUCCAUGCUUCAAGUAAUCCAUAACCAAGUUCUUCUCAGGAGACAUAGGUCUUCAAAUCUGAUGAUGGGAAAUAUCCACCUCCUCCUAAAGUGCAAGAUUUUACCAUGGUUUUAAAAACCAAAUCGGACUAGUCGGUCACGGUUCCAGUCCGGUCCAAUCAAUUGGGUCGAAAAGUGGUCGGACCAGAAUUGGACCAGUUAAACCAGUGGUCCGAUCGGGAACUGUCUGGUUCAAUUUUUUUUUCCACUGUCGUCGAUUCCCGUCGACGGGACCCCCACCCUCCUUGCAAAGCCAGUGUUGGAAAAGUUCUUAUUGCCAACUUGAACCACCCCCCCUCCCCCCCACCCCUUUCUUCCCCGUUGGAACCCUUUUUUACUUGUCGAAAUCCCUCCCACCCGGCACUAGAAACCCUACCCCCCAAAACCCUAUUGGAACCAUUUUUUGCCCACUCCUCUUAUCUCUUUUUCUAGAUUUUUUUUCUACCUCAUCUCACUGUUAUUAUAUAUAUAUAUAUAUAUAUUAUUUCAUGAUGUUUAAAACUUAUUGUUUUAAUUUUAAUUAAUGAAAACAUUACAAUUUUAAAUAAAUUCUUGAUUUUAAAAUAAGUUUUUCAUUUAAAAAUGAAUUUUAAACUUUUAAAAUUAAAAUUAAAAUUAUGAUUUUAAUUUAAAUUUCUAAUUUGAAACUAAUUUUCUGAUUUUCAAAUAAAAAUUUAAUUUUUAAAUAAUAUAUAUUAUUAUUUUUAUUUUUAUAAUUAUUUUAAAUUUUAAUAAUUUAUAAAUUAUAUAUUUAUGAAAUCACCGGUUCGAUCGUAGUUUGACCGCUGGUCUGAUCAAUGAACCUUAAACCAAUAACUUUUCCAGUUCAAUUACAGGUUCAGUUCUAAAAACAUUCAAUUUUACUGAGAAUCAUCCCUUUCUGGAGGCCGUCUCCACCACCUCAUCUAUGCCGACAUAGAAAUUCAAAUCAUGAAAAGUUGAAAGCCCCAUGAUAUGGGUUCCAACAUCCUCCCCCUAUAAAACUUGCACCCAUCCAUAAAAGCUUAUAUAUUCAAGCGGCACCUAUCUCCACAUCACCAUGAUGCUAAUGUUUACUCUUUUGCCCAUUUCCAGCCAAAAAGGAGAUAACCUAUAUAAGGAACCCCUCAUCAGCCACUCCUUAUGCUCUUCCAUAGCCCUCUCCCCGCAUGGUUUGAAGUAUUAGGCCAAGACUAGCCCCACUCAACCAAUUCUUAUUUGCCUUAACCAUGGUCAUGAUCAAUCCAAGAUCAAAUUUGAGAAUUCUACAAUUGAUAAUGACUAGGUUUCAAGUCCAAUAACAACUACUUAAUUCAGCCAACUCCAACUCCAACUCACUACUCUACUACUCAAAUUCAAUUAAUUACAAUUAUAAUGAAUGCCUAAAGAUGCCUUUAUUAGUGGUCCCAACAAUGUGUGUGUGCACCAUGUGCCCAGGAGGGGCAAAUGCCCCCCUGAAAUUUAGGAAUAUAUAUAUAUAUAUAUGUGUGUGUGUGUGUGUGUGGACCCCGCAUUUCGGCUCAUGUGUUUUCCACUCGAUGGCGAGCUCGAUUUUUAUUUAAAAAUGAUUUUAUUUAUUUAAAAAAAUGACUUGGAGUCGCCACUUAUUUUUGUUUUAUUUUUAAAAGGGUAAACAAAAUAAGAAAGAAAACACUAAGUGUGACUCCUUAUUUUGGAAAAGGUGGUCUGUGAAAAACCGGAUCGAGCUCGGGGGUCUGGUUACUUGUUGGGAAGGUACGGUAAAGACCGUAGCACCCCUCUAAGUCCCUAAAGUCGGGUCUCUACUAAUAAAAUGAAGCUGACGUGGCGAUCAAUAGGAAAAUCAACGGAUACUCAAAUCGACCAUGCACACAUGGGAAUCAAAACAUGCAUAGAGAAUGACCAGAAUAGAAAGGGAUGCAUACCUGGGCCACGAACGAGCAAUGUGUUAUCAUAAAAAUGGAGUCAGUGUAUAAUAAAGAGCACAAAACAUAUUACAUGCGUCACCAAAUAGAAAUUAAAAAACUGUUGAGGGAAAACUGGAUUUUUGAAAUUUAUUUGAAAUUUGGAGUUUUAGAGAUUAUUUGAAAAUUGGAUUUUUAGAAAUUAAAUAUAAGAAUAAGAAUUUUAGAAAUUAAAUUUGAAAGGAAUUGGAAUUUCAGAGAACUAAAUUUGAGAAUUGGAAUUAUGAAAAAUUAUUUAAAGACGGAAUUUUAAUAAACAAAUAAGUGGAUAAAUGAAUGAAUGGAAUAAUAAUAAUGAUGAAAUAAUAAAGAUUAGGUAAAUAAUUGUGAAAAAUAGAAUUUUAGAUAUUAGAGAUUGAAUUUAGAAAUUGAAAUUUUGAUAAAUUAUUUGGAGAUGAGAUUUUAAAUAUAUGAAUAAGUAAAUAAAUAAAUGAACGGGAUAAUAAUAAUAACGAAAAUAAUCAUUAAACAGCUGAAUGUGAAUAGUGGAAUUUUUUAGAUUGAAAAUUAAAUUUGGAAAAUAGAAUUUUGAAAAAUUGAACUUUAAUUAUUGAAAAUUUUAAAAUAAAUGAAUGGAAUAAUAAUAAUAAUAAUGAGAAUAAUAUUUAAACGAAUGAACGUGAAUAGUGGAAUCUUUGAGAUUGAAAAUUAAAUUCGGAAGUCAAAUUUUUCAAGAAUUGAACUUUAAUGAUUUGAAUUUUUAAAAUAAAUAAAUAAAUAAAUAUGGAAUGAUAAUAAUAAUAACAAAAAUAAUGUUUAAACGAAUGAAAGUGAAUAGUGGAAUUUUUUAGAUUGAAAAUUAAAUUCGGAAGUAAGAUUUUUGAAUAAUUAAACUUUAAUGAUUGAAAAUUUUAAAAUAAAUAAAUAUGGAAUAAUAAUAAUACUAACAAAAAUAAUGUUUAAACGAAUAAACGUGAAUAGUGGAAUUUUUUAGAUUGAAAAUUAAAUUCGGAAGUCAGAUUUUUUAAUAAUUGGACCUUAAUUAUUUGAAUUUUUAAAAGAAAUAAAUAAAUAAAUAUGGAAUGAUAAUAAUAAUAACAAAAAUAAUGUUUAAACGAAUGAACGUGAAUAGUAGAAUUUUUUAGAUUGAAAACUAAAUUCGGAAGUCAGAUUUUUGAAAAAUUGAACCUUAAUGAUUUGAAUUUUUAAAAGAAAUAAAUAAAUAUGGAAUGAUAAUAAUAAUAACAAAAAUAAUGUUUAAACGAAUGAACGUGAAUAGUGGAAUUUUUUUAGAUUGAAAAUUUGAAGAGUUAUUUAGAGAUGGGAUUUUAAAAAUAAGUAGAUAAAUAAAUAAACGAAAUAAUAAUGAUUAAAUAAAUAGAUGUGAAGAUUAGAAUUUUGGAAAUUAGAAUUUUAGAGAAUUGUUUAAAAAUGAAGGUUUAAAAAAAAAAAAAUUGGAGUUUUGAAAAUUAUUUGAAAAUUUGGAGUUUUAAAAAUUAAAUUUAGAAAUUUAAAUUUUGGGAAUUAAAUUUGAGAGAAAUUGGAGUUUUGAAAAUUAAUUUGAAAAAAAAAUAAAGUUUGGAAAUAAGAGUUUUGAAGAUUAAAUUGAGAAAAUGAAGUUUCGAAAAUUAAUUUUGAAAGAAUUCGGAAUUUUGGAAAUUAAAUUUAAAAAUUAAAAAUUUGGAAGAUUAAAUUUAGACAUCAAAAUGUGAAAGAAUUAGAAAAAAUGUGAGAUUGGUAGUAGGUUGGUAGUGUCGGUGGAGACAAUGGAAAUUAGAACAUGGAGUGCAAGAUAGUUUUUCAUAUGAUGGCUAGCUUUUAUGGGUUAAGAAAAUAAUAAUAGAUAAAUAAAUAAAAAAUAAAUAAAACAAUAAAGAAACACAUUUGACUAAUGAUGAGAACUGGGGAUGGAGGCUCGUAAUGGUGCCCUCAUUAAAUGCUGCUCCCAAAAUCAAAGACAAACUGGAGUUAGCCUUAAUGACAUUUCAUGAGAGAGAAAAGUUUCAUGCUCCCGCUGUGCAGACUCGCCGGUCAUGCUCCCGCUGUGCAGACUCGCCGGCAUCCCCUCAUCGCUGCAUAGCUCCGCCAAGCACUCCGGCAGAGAUCUUCUUGUCCCUCUUCAAAAAUACAUCAACGCGUUUUCCUUCUCCGAGAAUUGUGUUGACCAGCUUCUCCCGUCCAAAAAGGCGAAAAUCCUUGGCUUUGAUGGAAGACGGCGAGAAUGGCACCCGCGAGAUUAUCCAAAAAUGAUGCAUCCAUAUUCCUCAAGGAUGAAUCAAUUAAACACAACUUUCAUCUAGAGAGCUUCCUCCCAAUCCCGGAAAAAAAAAUCUCAUUCCCCUUUUUUUUAUUUUUUUAUUUUUUUAUUUUUCUCCUUGAUUUUCUCAUCUAGAUACUCCUUUCAGACAUCCCCUCCGUAAGACCUCUUCCCUUUCCUUUUUCUUCCAUCUCCAUUUCCUACUGUUUGGUUUGUCCAGGUGGGGUAGAAAAGAAAAGAAUUGGGAAUAUUUGUAGCAUAAAUAGGUAGCGGAAAUCCCAUCUUACAGUCACAUUAACUUGCUUCUCAAUAUUAAAACAUUGAAACCAAUAUUUUAUCUCAUGCACCAGUAUGUGAAAUAUCAGUUCUUGAACAAAUAAUAACAUAACAGAAUCAUGAGAAUACGUAUGGCAAGAGGAAAUAAAACAUGAAAAUUGAUUUCGAAAGCAUAGCAUUCACUAACCUGUUUGCUGUCAACCCCAAAAAUGGCUCCUCAUGGUAUUUUCUGCUGCUUCCCCCUCCUAGAGCCCAGGCACCCGCCGCCCCUCUCUUUUUUCUCUUAUUUUUGUCUUUCUCAGCAAGCUACUACCCGCCUUCCCGUUCACCAGUCAGCAGGCAUGUCGUCUUCAACCACCACCAUGGCCGUCCACGCCCCUUGCCGUGUCCAUGCAGCUGGUCUCCUUCCAGAAAGGGGUCCCCCCUCCUACUUAAAAAAAUGAAAAAAAAUUCCAUCCUUUUUGUCGUCCGUAAAAGAGGGUCUACAAUAUGAUACAUAUCAUUGACUAGAAGGCGUAGAAUGGGACAAAUUCAAGGGUAGGCGGUAAGGGUGGGGUGGAUUCUAUGGAGGCUUUUGCAGAUGUAUGUAAAACUACAAGACCUUAAAACCUGUAUAAUACUGAUCAAAGUAUCGAAGGGAAGCUUGUUUUGUGCCUAAGAAAAAGCAUGGCGUCCUCUCUGUCCUUUCCAGGUAACUCCUUCACCCAGUCAAAACCCUUUAUGCAAUCUAAAAGGUUUCAGUUGAUCAUAUACUGUCAACACAUGCAUGGGAUAUUCAAAUUAUUAUUUAUGCUAUGGUCUAGUUGUCCAUUUUUGGACAGAUAUGUUCAUAUACCGAGAGAAAGAAAGGGAAAUAAAAAUGAAGCCUGUUGAACAUCCUUCAUCCAAUUUUGUUAACUAACUCUUAAUUUAUAAAUUUUCAAUAUGUCCAUUUUCAAUAUUCAUCCAAUUUUUUCCACAAAUAAUUUUAAUUGAAAAUUAAAAAAAAUUAACUAACUCUUAAUUUAUAAAUUUUGUUAUCGAUUUAUUUUUUUACAAUAUUUAGUUUAUUUUAAUUUUUUUUUUCCUUCACCUCCUCGUUUAUCACUUUAUAUUACAAAAUAAAAUAAAUUCUAAUUUCUUUUUGUAGAAAUUUUUUAUUUUUUAAAAUUAUUCAAUAUUUUUCAAUUUUUAUAAAAGAAUUUAUCAUAUUAUAUAAUUGGAUAUUGUAAAAAAUUAAAACUUUUGUAUUGCAUUCGAUUUUUUUUUUUUUCCUUUUUUGGAAUGGGAGUUGACUGGUUGGUAAUCCACAUAACAAGCUUUUUUUUUCUUUAUAUUCACAACCUUAACAUGUGGCAAAAUGUCAUUGGUGGAGGAUUUGAGGUGUGGUACUGAAAAGCAUAUAUGGGUACCAAAGCAUAACCCAAAAAUGAAUAGACACAUUUGGCAGCCAUCGCGGGACUAAAACAAAAAAAUUACCUUACCCAAUAAAAUGGUACAUGUUUAAUAAUUUAUUUCAAUUUGGACCAUAAUUCUCAUUCGUACUAUAUAUUUGGAAUCAUCAAUUGUAGCAGCCUGGCUUCAUCUACAACCUAAACAGACAAUGCCUAAACAUGGUGAUGGUGUUACAAUGCAAAAUUCACCAAUCCUUCUUCAAACUUUUUUGAGUUUUCCCUAGACAAUGCUCUGAUGAAAAGCCCAAGAAAGCCCAAAGGAAAGGAACAGAAAGGCUCACCCUUCUCUCAAGUCUCAUCUGCUGGUCCCCACCCAAAAUAUGGCCCCAAACUGCUUUCCAAACAAAGGCUGAAAAUUCUCCCCUGCCUGCCUGAAAUCAAUCUCAAUAGAGUGGUUGAUAAAAGAAGUGGACAAAGGAGAAGUAUGCCCAUAUACUUUCCAAGCAAUAUCCAUAAUUAGACUGGUAAGAGAAUAAGACUGGACUCCAAUUCAAUUCAAUUCAAUUCACUUAUUUAGUUUUUUCAUAUAAAGAUUAAAUAAUUUAAAAAUAUGGAAAUUUUUUAUUAAUUUUAAUUAUAUUUUAUUUUUUUAUUAUUUUUCAUACUAAAAUCAAAUAUAGAAAAAUCAUUUUUCUUUACAUUUCUUUUGUUUUUUUAGUACUUCCCGAAAAUCAUAGUCUUAAUAUUAUGUGUAUAUUCUUACAUAAAGAGCUAGUUGUUUGAGAUAACUUAUUUUAAAAAAUUUCUAAGAGAUGAAGUCAAUAUCAAAAUUUUAAAGGGAUAAUCUUAUUAUUAUAAAAUUUUUAUUAAAUACGAAUUUACUUCCAUGAAUAAAAAGAAAAAAAAAUUGUGAGAAGUAGCUUAAAUUUCUUUCUAUUAUUUUUGUUUUGUUAAGCUUUUUUAAUUUUAAAGUUACCAAUAAAUACAAUGUGUGAUGUACGCGUGAAAAUAAUAAAUAACUUAAUGUAUUUAGGCCACUUUUAAUAUAUGAAAUUCAAUAAUAGGAAUAGGAAUAGGAAAGUAAGUGUGAUUUAUUAUAUAAUAAGGUUAAAUCGUGCAUUAAUUACAAUUAUAAUGAAUGCCUAAAGAUGCCUUUAUCCCAACAGUGUGUGUGUGUGCAGGGGUGGAGCCACCUUGUGCCCAGAAGGGGCAAAUGCCCCCCUGAAAUUUAGGAAUAUAUAUAUAUUAUAUAUGAUACAUAUCAUUGACUUAAAGGUUACACUGAACAAAAAUAAGAAGUUUAGGAUAUCAAACACUAGCUACCCAUUUGGAAAAAAAAAUGACUGUUUCAAGUCCAUUUGGCAGCCAUUGCAGGACUAAAACAAAAAAAAUUACCUUACCCAAUAAAAUGGUAAUUUAUUUCAAUUUGGACCAUAAUUCUCAUUCCUACUAUAUAUUUAUUUAUAUUUGGAAUCAUCAGUUGUAGCAGCCUUGCUUCAUCUACAACCUAAACAUGGUGGUGGUGUUACAAUGCAAAAUUCACCAAUCCUUCUUCAAACUUUUUUGAGUUUUCCCUUGACAAUGCUGUGAUGAUAAGUCCAAGAAAGCCCAAUGAAAAGGAACAGAAAUGCUCACCCUUCUCUCAACUCUCAACUGCUGGUCCCCACCCAAAAUCUGGCCCUAAGCUCUUUCCAAACAAAGGCUGAAAAUUCUCCCCUGCCUGCCUGAAAUCAAUCUCAAAAGAUUGGUUGAUAAAAGAAGUGGACAAAGGAAAUCUAUGCCCAUACUUUCCAAGCAAUAUCCAUAAUUAGACUGGUAAGCGAAGAAGACUGGACGCCAAAAGGAUGCUGUGAGAUAUCUGGAAGAUCACCCAUGACAUUUUCAACGUACUGUGCAGUUGAAGGCCGAAAGAUAAACACAAAGCAUGAAACUUGGAAUAGCAGAAAUGGAAAGCAGCAUGUGCCUUAGCAGUGCAAUUUUGUCUCUGUGUUUGUCGUGUAUGUGGUUGGGAGUAGUGCCUUACAUUUCUGGUGCACAGACAGACACCAUCAAACCUCGGGAAGAGCUUCAAUU